AAAAUGCCGAAGAAACAUAUUUCACAUAACAAGAGUAACAAGCCCUAGGAGGAUUAUAAGGUUUCCUACCAGCCCAAGACCAAAUUCAGUCACUUGAUACAUCAUCAUCAUCAUAAUACAGCCAUCAAAUCUAUAGACUAAACUAACAAUUAAGGAUCAACAUCCAUACUAUAUCAUGCUCAGCACACGCACAAAAUGUUUCACCGAGCACUAAACACAUCCAUCUAGCAGACCAAACAGCCCGGAAAAUUGACCAUCAACUGGAUUAGCAAUGCAGUGCACAAUCACAGAGCACUAUGAGUCUACCAUCUCAUCUUGCAAUGCAGUGCACAAUCUUGGAUGGCUGCGGCGGCGGCUACGGUCUGGCGGCAGGUGGGAGGAGACGGGGCAACAGCGGCGAGGCUUUCUGGGCUCUGGGGGAGAGGGCGAGGGGAAGCGAAGNNNNNNNNNNNNNNNNNNNNNNNNNNNNNNNNNNNNNNNNNNNNNNNNNNNNNNNNNNNNNNNNNNNNNNNNNNNNNNNNNNNNNNNNNNNNNNNNNNNNNNNNNNNNNNNNNNNNNNNNNNNNNNNNNNNNNNNNNNNNNNNNNNNNNNNNNNNNNNNNNNNNNNNNNNNNNNNNNNNNNNNNNNNNNNNNNNNNNNNNNNNNNNNNNNNNNNNNNNNNNNNNNNNNNNNNNNNNNNNNNNNNNNNNNNNNNNNNNNNNNNNNNNNNNNNNNNNNNNNNNNNNNNNNNNNNNNNNNNNNNNNNNNNNNNNNNNNNNNNNNNNNNNNNNNNNNNNNNNNNNNNNNNNNNNNNNNNNNNNNNNNNNNNNNNNNNNNNNNNNNNNNNNNNNNNNNNNNNNNNNNNNNNNNNNNNNNNNNNNNNNNNNNNNNNNNNNNNNNNNNNNNNNNNNNNNNNNNNNNNNNNNNNNNNNNNNNNNNNNNNNNNNNNNNNNNNNNNNNNNNNNNNNNNNNNNNNNNNNNNNNNNNNNNNNNNNNNNNNNNNNNNNNNNNNNNNNNNNNNNNNNNNNNNNNNNNNNNNNNNNNNNNNNNNNNNNNNNNNNNNNNNNNNNNNNNNNNNNNNNNNNNNNNNNNNNNNNNNNNNNNNNNNNNNNNNNNNNNNNNNNNNNNNNNNNNNNNNNNNNNNNNNNNNNNNNNNNNNNNNNNNNNNNNNNNNNNNNNNNNNNNNNNNNNNNNNNNNNNNNNNNNNNNNNNNNNNNNNNNNNNNNNNNNNNNNNNNNNNNNNNNNNNNNNNNNNNNNNNNNNNNNNNNNNNNNNNNNNNNNNNNNNNNNNNNNNNNNNNNNNNNNNNNNNNNNNNNNNNNNNNNNNNNNNNNNNNNNNNNNNNNNNNNNNNNNNNNNNNNNNNNNNNNNNNNNNNNNNNNNNNNNNNNNNNNNCGGUGGGUCGUCGACGCGGUGGAGCGGGGGAGUAUGCGGGGGGGGGAUCGAGAUCGAGAUGGCUAUUUUUAAAAAUAUUCAUGAGUUCAAAAAGUGCCCAUGAAAUACAAUCGAGAAAUGAAGGCUACAAUUUAAAUACAAUCGAUCUUAGCUAGCUAUCUGUUCACAAUCUUCUUGCCCUUAUUUUUCGUAAAUGGAGUUCUUCUCUUGAAUGGACGUCCUUUAGGUAGGGUGGUCCUGCUUCUUCUUGUGGUGUAUGCUGGUACUUCAUCGUCGUCGUCAUGUUCCAUCUUCGGGUCGCCGUACUUGUCGAAGUGUUGCUCAUUGGCGACUCCAUCCAUUCCGAUGAUCUUCCUUUUGCCUCUCCUCACAACAACACGACUGGGCUUUGACGGGUCGGUAAUGAAGAAGCAUUGGUCCACUUGGGAAGCUAGUACCCAUGGCUCAUUUUUCGCGGUGACGUUUGCGCCCGCGGUCUUGGAUUUGCCUUUGGGUAUAACCAUGGUGGUGAAAUACCGGUCUUCUUUUAGGACGCUCUUGGCCCAUCUGACACGGAACAUCGGGACCUUCUCUCCAGCGUAGCUCACCUCCCAGAUCUCCUCGAUCCUUCCGUAGUAUCUGUCCUUGUCGUUACCGGUGUAGGAUUCCAUCGUUACCCCGGAGUUCUGACAACCAUCGCUCUUCAUGUCCUUUCCCUCGGUAUAGAAUGUGUAGCCGUUGAUAUCGUACGCCUCAUACGUCAUCAGGUUGUGCUCGGCGCCCUGUGACAAGGCGAAUAUGAGUUGUUCUUCCGCGGAAGAAUCCUCAUGUAAAGGGUACGACAAAAGCUUCUGCUUGAACCAACGCGUGAAACAUGAGUUGUGCUCUUUCAUUAUAUCUCCGUCCGUCCUCUGUUGGCCUCGGUCAUUGUACGUCUUCUCAAUAAAGGUUUUGUGCUCGACCACCCAAGGAUCGACCACGUCUAUCUGUUGUAGCGCGACUAGGUUUGCUCUUUCAAAGUCGGCGAGUCGACCCUCGAAGUCGACAUGCAUUUCACGGCGACCCUCACGGUGACCCCAUCCAGCGAGCCUGCCGAGGUGCCUGUUGAUGGGCAGACCAACGGGGUUCUCGAUGCCUAGAUAAUUCGUGCAGUAGGAGAUGCACUCUUCGGUCAAAAAGCCCCUGGCUAUGCUUCCCUCUGGACGUGACAUGUUGCGAACGUAUCCUUUGAUGACACCAUUCAUCCUUUCGAACGGCAUCAUGCUGUGCAGGAACGUCGGCCCGAGUUGGAUGAUAUUCUCCAUGAUAUGGACCAGCAGAUGCACCAUAAUGUCGAAGAAUGCGGGCGGGAAGUACAUCUCAAGCUCGCAAAGUAUCACCAAGAUCUCUUCCUGUAGCCUUCUGAGUUGCCUCACGCCAACCGACUUCCGAGAGAUGACGUCGAAAAAGUUGCAUAGGCCAAAUAGCGUUUCACGGGCGUGCGCGUCCAUGAUCCCACGGAUUGCAACUAGAAGUAUCUGCGUCAUCAGCACGUGACAGUCAUGAGACUUCAUCCCGCUGAACUUCUGCUUCGCUGAGUCUAGGUAUCUGCUUAUCUUCCCCGCGUAACCGUAAUGAAGUUUUACUCCUAUGAGGCAGGUGAAAAACUAAUCGAUCUCCUCCUGACUUAGAGUGAAGCACGUGGGAGGGAAGUCAUUUCCGGUCUUCUUGGCCUUUUUGCCUUUGCGAUGACUUUCCGUGUCCUGCUUCGCCUCAUCAUCAUCAUCAUUAGCGUGAAGCUCCUCCCUGAUGCCCAUUGAUUUCAAGUCUGCCCUUGCUUUCGGCCCAUCUUUGGUCCUCUCUGGCAUGUUGAGCAGGGUACCAAGCAGACUCUCGCACACGUUCUUCGUGAUAUGCAUGACAUCAAGGCUGUGAGGCACACGGUGGAUCUUCCAGUACGGCAAGUCCCAGAAAACAGACCUCGUUUUCCAUACCUUCAGCAGCGGCUCUUGCGCCUUUCGCUUCUUUCCCGGCUCUGGCGCCUUUUGCUUCUUUCCCGGCAGUGGGCAAUCUUUCCAAUUUUUCAACAGCUCGUCUAUUUCCUCGCCGCUCCUCGUACGCGGGCGUCUUCGGGGUUCGGUUUCACCAUGGGUCAUCGUCGCGAAGCCACCUUCGAUCUCCCAUGAACACGGUUCUCGAAGACCCAGGAUCUCUAUCUAGCUGGCGAUACGUUGUGUCAUCCAUGCACCUGACGCAUCCAGAAAAUCCGUGGACCACCUGCCCCGCGAGAUAUCCGUAACCGAGAUAGCCGUGCACCGUCGUGAGCAGUGCGGCUCUCAUAGGGAAAUAUUCUUUCUCUGCGGCGUCCCACGUAUUGGCUGGUGUUUUCCACAGCGUGUCUAGCUCCUCUUUCAACAGCCCCAGAUACAGAUUGAUGUCGUUCCCUGGUUGUUUCAGCCCUUCAAUUAGCAUACUCAUGUGAAUGUACUUCCUCUUCAUGCACAACCAGGGGGAAGGUUGUAUAUCCACACAAACACAGGCCAGGUGCUAUGUGUGCUUCUCUGGCUGCCAAACGGAUUGACUCCAUCGGUGCUCGCGCCCAGCACGAUGUUCCUUGGAUCAUUCCCAAAUUCUAGGUGUUCAAAGUUCAACGCUUGCCACUGGCUCCCAUCCUUAGGGUGACUCAGCAUCUUGUCUUUUUUAUUUAUCUCCGGAUCAUUUGCGUCAUCUUCUCGCUUCUUCGGCUCCCUAUCCGCGUGCCAACGCAAGAGCUUUGCUACCUUAGGGUCCACGAAAUACCGCUGCAGACGAGGAGUGAUCGGAAAGUACCACACCACUUUUCGAGGAGCUUUCUUCCUCUUCUUGUAUCGAGUGACGCCGCACACCGGACAUAUGGUAGACUCCGCGUGCUCGUCCCGAUAAAUGAUGCAAUUGUUCAUGCACACAUGGUAUUUCACGUGCGGUAAAUCCAGAGGACACACGAUUUUCUUCGCCUCCUCAAAACUGGUCGGGCACUUGUUCCCCUUGGGAAGACGUUCGUGCCAGAAUGACAUGUUCUCGUCGAAGCAUGCGUCGGUCAUUUUGUGUUUUACCUUCAUCUCCAGAGCCAUGAGCGUUACUUUCAGCCGGGUAUCCUCGAGCCUGCAUCCUUCACACAAUGGAGUAACCGCGUCUAUCUCCAGUUGAUCCAGCUUGGCUUUCUCUCGGGCGGCAGCUCUUGCAUUAUCCGUCUGCUUGAGAAGCAGCUCUUGAAUAUGAGGGUCCUGCACCUAGCCCAUCGAUGGUCCAUCGUCGUCUGCUCCGCCGGCAUCUUCAUCUUCAUGAUCAUGCCCUUCGUCUGCUCCGGCAUCUUCCUCAUCAUCAUGUCCAGCAUCUUCUACAUGACGACUAUGUACAUCAUCAUCGUCGUGAUCAUGUCCUGGAGAUUCUUCGACUUCUCGCCCGCCCGAGCCGCGGUGGUUGUCUUGCUGCCCUUCCUCAUUUCUUGCCCGGCCCCCAUGGACGACUUCAUAGUCAUCUUCAUCACCUUGCCACCGAUAGCCAUCCAUGAAACCACGCAAGAGCAGGUGGUCCCGCACCUGCCCCCGGAAUCCGGGUCCGCAAUAAGGCUCUUCAGCUUGCAUCUUCGACAUGGACAUCUUAUCUCCGUCUCGUUCUUUUGAAGCAUCUCGGCCUUCGCGGAGCUCAAAAACCUAUUCACGAUGCCUUCGGUCAUCGUGCGGACGAUGGUUGCCUGCGGGGUAGAGCAAAAUGAUAUUUUAGAACCAAGAAAAAAUUUGGCAUGACUUUCCCUAAAAAUAGGACCAAAAAGAAUGCAUAGUGCCAAAAUUCUCGUCGAAACGGAAAUGAAUCAACAUUCCGGCAAAAUAUUGGCAACUAUCGCAUUUCAAAUACCGGUACCUGCAAACACAAACAUAUAUGCAACACCACAAACAUACAUAGAUCUAGCUAGGCCAUAAAAAGUGCAUGUGCACGUUGUUUGAGGGAGAACAACAUAAAGAUAGCUUCCCCCUUACUUACCUAUCAAAAAAAGGUAAUUUAACCACUUAAUUUGGAUGAAUCUAUGGUGCAAAUGAGGUGAGGAGGAGGAGGCAGCCGAGACAAGCUUGGAGGAGGAGGUGGAGAGAAUGAAGUGGGGAAAGUGAGUGGGUAGGUGUGGCUGUCCAAAAUAUCUAGCUGGUCCCAGGUUACUAAUGGCGCACCACCUACAAAUGCGCCAUUAGUAACCCUGGUUACUAAUGGCGCACCUGCUGGUGGUGCGCCAUUAGUAGUUUUGCAAAAAAAUAAAAUAAAAAAUAUACACUAAUGGCGCACCAGGGUAGGGUGCGCCAUUAGUAGUUUUGCAAAAAAAUAGUAGUGGCGCACUAUGUGGCUGGUGCGCCAUUACUAGUUAGAACUAGUAAUGGCGCACUGUGCCCUGGUGCGCCAUUAGUAUGUUUGGAAAAAUAAAAAAUAAAAUUUUUUGUUACUAGUGGCGCACCGUGUGUCUGGUGCGCCAUUAGUGUCUUUCACACUAAUGGCGCACCAGCACAUGGUGCGCCACUGCUAUAUAGUAGUGGCGCACCACAUGUCUGGUGCGCCAUUAGUUGCCAUUUCAUCUAUAGCCCUUUUCCUAGUAGUGUAUCUACCAGCAAAGAAACCCCAAGAUCUACAAGGCUUGUAGUGAGCAUCCCUUUAUCCCAAAAAGAUUGACCAACUUCGCCAAUUGUAGUGUCAGCCACCUCAGUUUUAAAAGCAAUCAUGUCCCUGAAUUUUUUAUGAAAAACUGAAACAUAAGAUACUAAAAAAUAACAACAACAAAAAAGGGUAAAUACUUAUGAACAAAACAAUUUUGAAAAAGACAUAAUUCUUCUUCUUGUCCUUCCGAGCCCUCGUAACAGCAGUGUACAACUCAUUGUAUCUUUUCAGAAGAGCUGGAUCAAUGCUCGACGGUGUCACAACAGGAAGUUCAUCAUCUGUAAUAAAAAGAUGAAGUUCACUUAUCCAAAGAAUGAAGUUAAAAUAUUAAGAUAAGGAAAUUCUGCUAGCUAUUUUGAAAAUCACCAACAAAAGAUCAAGUUUCACUUAUCAUUAAACAUCUAAUAUAGCUACCAUAUUAAUUAAACAAAAUGAAUGAGAAAAACUUCAACUGCACUAUUUGAAACAAAACUCUUGCCUUCAGUGCCAGAGUCUUCAUGCUGUUGUUCUUCAAAGCUGACGAAUCCACCACAACCUCACUGGACUACCCUUCUGUAGCAACAUCAGCAUUCUCUGGAUUUACAACAGUCUGGUCAAGCGCAACAUCCUUAGAUACUUCAGCUACAUGAGGCUCCACUCCGAAUACAUCAGGAACAUCAUUGGCCGCCAGACAAACAGGAGAAGCAUCAACUCUACCAGCAGGAACGACAUUCUCCAGCGGCUUUUCAAUGCCAAAAUUAGAAUCUUCAUGCCGACUAGGGGAAACAUCAUCGUGGGAUUCCUGAGCUACAGAAGGAUCUGCACUGUCGACGACAACCGAUACAGAAUCAUCAACACUGCCACCACCCACAACAGCACAGUCCCCCUGGUUCAGAUCAACAUGAACUUCUAUGUUUUCAUCUACAGGCUGUGAAAAUUUAAAAAAAGACACAAUGACACAAAUGAGCGUGGGGAUAAUUAACACAACAACACACAGGUCACUUAUGUCAAAGAGUGCAGACAACAUACGCAAAACAACUGCAGUCCACAUAUGCAAAACAACUGCAACCCACAUGUGUCAAAACAACUACAACUGCAACCCACAUAUAUGUAAAAAGAACUGCACUUCACUUUGUCAAACACUGCAGUUCAGUUCUGUUAAAAUACUGAAGCUUACAUAUGUAAAAGACUAUGGACCACGCAUGCGAAAAGAACUACAGUUUACUUCUGUCAAAUACUGAAGCUCACACAUGUAAAACUAUUGCAGCUCACAUAUGUAAAAGAAAUGUAUAUGAGUGAACAGAACAGCGUACAUCAAGUUUAUAACAACAACAACAACAACAACAACAACAACAACAACAACAACAAAAAAUUAGAUUACAAGCCACUAACAGAAAAAGUAAUUCAACUAUACCUUAUCAGCUACAACAUCCGGAGGGGACGAUGCACCAGCCAAGUCCUCAUCCUUCCCAGAGCAAUCGUAGGAAUCUUUGUGCACAUCACAAGCAACAACUCCAGUCUAUAGGCAUAGAAUAAACCAGAAACGAAAAUAAGAUGGUAACGACCAAAAAAGAAAAAAACUUCAACUAUGCACAAGCAGUACACACUUUACAAUCGUGAAGUACACAGAACAUACAAUAAAAUGGAAAGCAAAAAAAAUGCAAGUUCAAGAAGAGAGACAUAUGGCGGAACAAACAUGGCAGAAGUACUUGUACUUGACCAAUUCCAUCGUCCCUAGAUCCAUGGACACCAGAAGAUUCCACUCCAGCCUAUCACAAAAAAAUAAAUAGUGAGGAGCAGUCGACAUAAUACACAAAAGAGGUUCGGAGGCACAAAAAACCUAGAACGUACAUUAUCAGCGUCGACGCCAGCGUCUUGACGGUUCAUUUCAUCCAAAAUAUGCUCAUCAUCCUUCUCAUACAGACUGCAUUUUUCUUCCUAUGAAUGUUUCAACUGAGCAUACGAAGACCAAAUACUCAUCACUGCAAUCUUCAGGCUUUCAACCACGCCGCAAUAAAAAUUGUGAGCAGCAACAAUACCUUCAUCUCGUGGGCCAUGGCCAACAGGGAAUAAACCAGCAACUGUCCUCAACCUGUCACCAGAGGUUGGCAAUCUUCAGUCAAAUUCAAAACCUUCAGAAGAAGCUCAUCAAUCUCCUCGUGUUUUUUGCCGCCAACAAAUGUCUAUUUAGAAGAGCUUCUAUUAUCAAACAUCCAACGAGCCAUGAAACCAUGAGUACGCGUCACCUCAUCAUCACAGGCAGGAAGCUGGCUACAGAUAGGCUCAUAAAACCUAGCAUGACUGCUAGGCCCCGCAUCAGAGCUGCCACAUAGAACUGCAGCAAGACGGUUGUGCACAAUAUCACAUGACGCCUUCCCGUGCAAAAAAAGACAAGAAGCGAAGAGAUGUACACAUGUGAGUACUAGAAAGUUUAGAUUUAUAAUGACUGCACCUUUUAAAAAAACUCUGAUAUUAAAAACACAAAUGCACUAACCGGCAGCUUCCCAAAUUUGUAAGUUUCCUAGUAAAUCUUUCCCUUCACAAGCAUAUCCUCGUUGUAUAACUUCAUCAGGUCCUUGGUUGUCAGGUAUGACGCACGUUGCGUCAACGUGUGCAUAACUUAAAAUCUGCGAAGCUUAUAGCAAUCAAGAUACAUAAUCAGGGGGACAAUAGCACAACCCUUUGCACAAUUCUGCUUGCUGCCUUCUGUUUGCCACCUCACCACAGCUGCCUGCAACUCAUCAACAACAAGCUGACAAAAGCCCAUCUGCGCCAUAGCCGCAUAAUCCAUGUUCUCUACCAUUGCAGCAGCCCUACCCAAACGAACUGCAGGCCCGGGGCACAACAAAUUCUGGUAAAGUAUCACGAAGAACAUCUUCACAUCAAGAUCAACAGUCACAUGAUCAUCUUCCUCCACCAACACCUUCAGCUUCUCAAGCAAGUCCUUCACACCUAUACUUUUUGAACGGUCAAAGCUAAGCUCAUCCUUGAGGGCAGUCAACGAGUCAUCAUGGCCGCUGGCAGCAGGCAUGGGAGCAGUGUGAUGUCCCAUAGGUAAAUCAAAACUGUGAUGAACUGCAUCACGAUUGAUUCGAAGAACCCUGCCAUUCCCAAAGUCCAUUAUCAUGGUGGCAGGGUCAAUCACUCCCAUCAGAUAGCACAUAAGAAUGCGCGACCCAUUUUUCUUUACUGUCGGUUCAAAGACAACACCGAAUCCAGCAUCCCGAACACGACUAAAGUGUGUGUCUUUCAAUAAAGCAGCAGCCUCGCAAACAGUGGGAAGCGACAAACGUACGGCCUUGUUAAAUCGAGAAUCAUCUCCUUCGGCAUCAUCUUCAGUUGCAUUGCUCUUACUAGACUUCUUCCUCUUUGUAAAGGGAAAUGCAGUCCAUAUUAGAAGAUUAGCCAUAAAGAAGUGACAGAGAAAACACAGAUAGAAUAACAAUGAAGGAAACAAAUGCAGUCAACUUCAACAAACCUUUGGAACAAUGUCCGCCUCCUCACCAGAGUCAGCACCAACAUCUUCAUCGCCAUCAUCAUGGGCACGCUUGGUUAGACACCUAGAUGAACCACAGUCUUUGCGUCUACCAGUAUGAACAUCCCUCACAAAAUCAGCAAGCACAAAGUCGUCAUCGUCAGAGUUGGGACCUUCACUGACAUGUAGUCGCUUGCGCUGAGGAUCCUUUCCACCAGCUUCAGCAGUUCUCUUACCAAGAUUCUUGUUCAUGCCAGCAACACGUGGACUCUGCCGAGGAGUACCACCUUCCUCAGCAACAGAACUCAACCUCUUCUUAUGCAAAGCAGGCUGCUUCACUUUGACAAAUUUGGCACCCUUGGCACCAUCUGCAGCUCUCCUCUACUUCUCCUUCUCCACACACUCUUUUGAGUGACUUUGAAACCUCAACUUCUUCUUGCUUUGCUUCAAUUCAUAUGCACGAAGCUGUUCCGAGACCAUCCACUCCCGUGUAACUUCCUCUGUACCAUCAACAGACUGUGAUUGUGUUUCAGACAAGACGGGACAUCUCUGGUCAAAGCUCACACCAACAUAACCCUCUGCAAAAUAAUGGUCAAUCAAUUGAGUAUCCUCCUCAAACCCAGGCGCCCCAACAUGGAAAAUAGACACUACGUCAAAAUGAAGUUUAACUAUGGUCGUUAAAAAGUGCACAAAAAGAACAAAUUCACUACACUUAGACAUAUAAAUGCAGUGCUCCAAUCAUAAGCUAAAUAAAAAUUAAUGCAUUGUGCAAAAAACUUUAAUAAAACAACAAUGCAGUUCACACAUACAUAUAGUGGAGUUCACAUAUACAUAUAAAUGCAGUGCUGCAUACACUAACUUCAUGUUUGUUCCCAACAAAAUGCUGGACUAGAUACAGCAAGGCAAUGCCAAUUUGUACAACAUCGAGUAAGCAACAUACACAAAAUAAACAAAAAAUUCACAUACCAGAACAAGGGGCCACACUUAUGGGAGAAGAUUCAAUUGGCAAAUUCAAUUGAUGUCCUCCCUCACCACCAUGAUCCUUACCACCAGGACAACGAGAGCCAAUUGGUGUAUCAUUAUGACCACUGCAAUCACCUACUGGAUUAAAAAAACCAGAAACAUAAAUUACAAAACAUCACAUGACAAAUAAUGCAGAGGAACGCUGACAAUUAACAUAGCAUAAACAAAUAUGUAGGAUGAAUUAGGAAACUAGAUAAACAUCAAACAGAAUAAACAAAGCCAAAAAUAAGCAGUCCACAUACCCUGAACUCUUCCUCCCACUCUGCUCGGCGAAGACACGGCGUUUGCCUGCAGCACAAGGGCGAAGUGAUAGAUAUAAGCAACAAAAUCGGCGAAAUAUGAUGAAACCCUAUAUGCACCUUGCUCUGCCUACAAAGCACACACGAGUAUCGACUUCAAAUAGAGAUAAAAUCGCCUGCUUACGGAAAAAAUACAUAAGCAAAAAACACAACAGCAACUACGAGAAUUACAAAACUAGACGAGGGUAUGAUCAAUAUCGAGGCCAAGGGGAACGUACCACAAAAAAGGGAUGAACAGUGUCGGGGGAAACGACACCUAUGGGAUCACGAGGAAUCCCUUUUGCUACGGUUGGCGGGCGCGGGGCUAGAGCGGGAUUGAGAGAUCAACGCAGGGGGAUUAUCCAGGUUCAGGCCGCAACUGAUGCGUAAUACCCUACUCCUGCUGGUUUCUGUUUAUCUGGUGUUCUUUGACUAGCUACAAGGCUUGCAGGGUCCAAAAAGUACGAAUCCUUCCUCAAUACGCCGCGGGCCUCCUUUUAUAGUCAAAAGGGGCUGCCACAGUGGCACACAGGAGAUGGAAAGAUGUUUAGUAGUCGAGUCUAUCUCCUGGCACCGUAGGACAAACGCAUUUAAUGCACCGCCGACGUGCCCUACUUGCUUUAUCGGGGACGGCAAGGAAGCUCGUCCCAGCUGUCGCCGCCUCGCCUGGCUUCGACGCACGUUCGAGCUGACGAGGCGUGUAGUGCCACGCUGGCUGGCUGGUUGAUGAUUUGGCAUGGUGGCAGAGUCUUCACGAAGAUCUGCAUGUCACUACGCAGGUGCUUGGUGAGUUGGCCUAGAGGCCGCAUGUCGCCAUGCAGGUGCUCGCCUAGUUGGUGGGCUGGCAGCUGCAUGGGAACGGCGGUGGAGUCUUGGCGGAUGCGGGCCUGGCUGCGGCCCCGCAGAUGUCUUCGGCAAGGGUCUUGCCGCGGCAUUGCGGGCGUCCUCAACAAGGGUCUUGCCGGGGUGUCUCGUGGGUAUCCUCGGCAAGGAUCUCGCCGAGGAUCUCCGUCUUCUGAUUCUCAUCUAAUCUUGCAUGUUCUUGGUCUUCCCAAAGAUCUGCAUGCCACCACGGAGGCGCCUCCCGAACUUUGGUUCCAAUGUGGUUGUGGGCGUCAGAACUCUCAGGCUCAAGGGUGGCAGCCCUGCUGGCGUUGGGCAAGUUGCCCCGACAAGGUUCUUGCCGGGACUGUGGAGGCCGCCCCAGCAAGGGUCUUGCUGGGGGAGUUCACCUCGCCCUUCUGCUCUUCAUGUUUCUGGCUUGGCGUCGCCCUGGUUGUCUUGUGGCUUUGCUUCCUUCCUCUGCCCUGCUAAGUGUGGCCGCAGGCGCGGCUCCAACUGCCCGUGCACAAGUAAAGGGGUACAAAAUAGGACCCCUCCUUUUGUGCACCGACAGGAGCCCCAGGGCCUGGGCCACACAUAAGCGCGACGCGUUGUUGGGCUAGGCCCAAAACGGUGCGCGGGUAUGCGGGGCCGAGUUUUUACUGCAGUAACUCCCUCGCUCGUUGCGCGUCCCCACGACCCGCGUUGAAUGCGCGACGUGGGGGGUCGCGCAUGACAUGGGGGUCAUGCGUGGGGCGGUUGCUGCCCUCAUGCGUCACAUCACAGUAAAGAGGCGGCUCGCGCCUUCCCCAUGAAAAGUGGAAAACGCAGGGGCGCGGCUCAUUUACUAAGUGGACUCGAGUCGUGGCCUUCGAGGCGCCCGUGCCCCAUGAUCACGGGGUGGAAAACAGUCGCCUCACUUGUCUCCUUGAUUUUGGCUUGCUCGCCACGUGUCCCCCAUGCCUCGAAGAUGGUAGGCGGUGGACGCGGGUGGCAUGGGCCGUCACUGGUUGGAGCAGUGGGUCGGUCUCGAUUCCCUGCGCCCCUGGCGGCCGGAUUGGUUAAGUGGGGUGGCCGAGCCUUGGUCUCGCACCUUUAUAAGAAGGGGAGGGGGAUGGCACCCCUCGAUCUUUCAUCAUUCAUCUCCAUCCACCUCGGCUCCUUCCUUCCUUCCGCUAUGGCGAGAGGGCGCGCCGGCACUCCGAUGGCGGCGACGAGGGUCUCUUCUCGAUAGUGCGCCCCUCCUUCCCAAGAGCUUGUGGCUGCGGAGCCGGCCGUGAGAGGAAGGGGGAGGGGGCGAGGCCGAGGCCGCCGUGGCGCUCGGGGAAGAGGAGGACUGGGCGGUGCACCGGCCUCGCCUCCGCCAGCGGAACCUCCCUCAAUGGAAGGCCACGUCGGAGACCAGCCCCGCGAGUUCGUCAUCAGGCUGCAACAGCUAGUGCGCCGUCGUCUUCGUCUCCCUACUUCAUUCGCUCGGGAGAUGGAGUUCGAUCCGCCACAGGCUUUGAGGCUGCAUAUGAGGGGCUACGGGAAUGGCAGCAUGCGGGUCGACGUCGACUUCCCUGCCCCUCAUGUCAUGUAUCUUCGUCGCGGAUGGAAGACCUUUGCUCAUGCCCACAGCCCGUCGGAGGGGCUCGUUCUCCACUUCAAAUUAAUGGAGAACGACCUACUCUCCGUCAAGGUCUUUGGGCACUUGGGAACUUGCCUAAGGUGUUUCCUGGAGAGCUCCUCCGAUGAGAAGACUACUCCUCGAGCGGGAGUGACGAGGAGGACAGCGACAGUGCCGACAAGGGCGUCAAGCGGGAGGACGCCGAACCUGACUCCGACUGACCGCGCCGCCCUCCUCCCUCAGCCACGCGCCCUGCCGAGGGUCUUCCUCCUCAAGCUCUCCAUUGGUGCGUUCCCCGUUGCCUCCUUUUUGCCUUCACCUGGCGCACCUGGGAGGAAAGAGGCAAGAACGGGGAUCACGAGGCACUUAUCAUUUUUAGUUUUUAAGCCCGCGGGCAUUUGUUAGAUUUAAACCUUGUAAUCCCCUUGCUCAUGUUUACAUUCUGUACGAACUGUACCUAUUUGGGGCGUAUUAAUGAAAAAGGGUGCUUGACGGGUUCUUUGUGCGUGAGCGAGGCCCAUGCCAAGGAAUGAAUCCUUGUUAUUUUUAAGAUAAACAUUGUCUCCCAGCAACAGGACUUGCCGUCCACUCACUUCAUUCACGACCAUACUAAAGGUCUCGGCGGAGGCAGGGGCGAAGUAGGGUUAGGCCCCUUGUUUGCUUCUGUGUCACUUCAACUACAACCAAGUUCCGGCCUAGGGAAUAGUUCUUGGACACAAGAAAGGGGGAGCACAGUGGCCCAGGAAUAAACGAGGCUUCAUACGUCCCAAUUCCAUAUGGAAAUGCAUAACAGGGGAUAAAGGACUUAUCUGAAUCUGCAGCCCCCGGCAACCUUUGCUUUCCGUGGUCAGGUGCUUGAAUCUGCAGCUCCCCGGCAAUGGCUUGCCGGGGUUGGCGUUGUCGAUCCAUUUCCCUGCUCUUAAAUGGCUUAGCAGAAACGCCCGUGCAGUCUGCGAGCCAAAGAAAAGACUGGAAAGGACGGAAAGACACACACCCGACCUCUAUGCUAGGGGUUAGUUUCCGCCGGGCACUAUCAACUCUACCAAAGAGAGACUUAACCUAGCAUGCAUGCUAAAACUUAGGGCACCAGCGCUUCAUUUAUUUAUGCUUAGGGUCUGUGCCUGGCUCUGUACAAAGGGUUACAUGCCUUGUCGGCAAGGCUCGUACAAAAGGUGGUUUGCUGGGAGGCCCGACAACCGCGCCUCAUGGGUAAAACUUGCGAAGAUGUUCGAUGUUCCAGGAGUUGCUCACUGGGAUACCAUCUCCGGUUUCCAGGUGGACUGCGCCAGGCCUGGUGACUCGUAUUACCCGAUAAGGGCCUUCCCACUUCAGCGUCAACUUGUUGGAAUUCUUGGCCGACUGAAUGUGCCGAAGAACAAGGUCGCCUUCCUCAAGACUUCGGGCAUGAACCUUGCGGCUAUGGUAGCGGCGCAAGGCUUGCUGGUAGCGUGCAGCUCGCACAACUGCCCGAAGACGAUCUUCCUAAAGGAGCGUCGUGUUAUCUUGCCGCAACUGCUCUUGCUCAAGCUCGUCAUAAGCAAGCACUCGAGGUGACCCGUAUGUGAGUUACGUGGGGAGAACUGCUUCUGCCCCGUAUACCAGGGCAAAGGGUGUCUGGCCGAUUGCUCGAUUUGGCGUUGUUCUGAUCGACCAAAGAACCGUCGGCAACUCAUCAAUCCAGCGCCUUCCACACUUGUGCAGCCUGUCAAAAGUCUUUGUCCUCAGGCUCCGUGGGUGUGCCACUGAAGCGAAAUAGACCUUGCUACCGAGGUCCUGGAUGUAUUGCAUGAAGGUGCGGCUUGUGAACUGCGUGCCGUUGUCGGUGAUGACCCUGUUCAGCACACCAAAAUGGCAAACUAGCCCCUUGAGGAACUUGAUGGCUGACUGUGCUUUCAGCUUCCUCACUGCCUCCACUUUGGGCCACAUUGUGAACUUGUCGAUUGCGACAUACAAGGACUCAAAGCCCCCGACAGCACGUGGGAAGGGGCCCAGUAUGUCGAGCCCCCAAACUGAAAAUGGCCAGGAGAGAGGGAUUGUUUGAAGGGCUUGAGCUGGUUGAUGAAGCUUCUUUGAAUGAAACUGACACGCUUCACACUUGGUUACUAGCAUAGCUGCAUCCUGGAUGGCUGUGGGCCAGAAGAAACCUUGCCGGAAUGCCUUGCCAGCAAGGGCCCUUGACCCUAUGUGGGAGCCACACAUACGUCCAUGUAUCUCUGCCAACAGCUCUAGUCCAUCCUCUUGAGGAAUGCACUUCAGUAUGACUCCGUUUGGCCUCCUUCUGUACAGGGUAUCAUCAACAAACUGGUACAUGUUGGACCGACGGGCUACUUUCUCUGCUUCUUCCUGCUCCUCGGGGAGCUCUCCUGUUUGGAGGAAACAGACGGUGGGCUGCACCCUUGCCAGUGCCUGGGGCUCGACGACAAGGACCAAGAGCACAUCUUCGGCCGCAGGGGAAGCUGCCUCUACGGUCAGGGCCUGGGGCCCCGUCGGAGGUAGUUGCCCCUCGGCAAGCUUGGGGUACCCGACAACCUCGUUGCCGGUGGCUCCUGGGAGCUCGGCGAGAAGGUACUUGCUGGGGCUUGUGUUCCUUUGCUUGUUCUGCCCUACUGAUGUUCUAUAGAUGGUUGUAUUAACUGAAGUACAAAGGUACCUGGUUCCACAGGCAACUUGAGGGCAGCGCGUUUCGACAGGUCAUCGGCAAUGUUGUUCUCUGCUCGGGGAACAUGUUCUGUCUGUAGGCCAUCGAAACGUUCUUCUAACUUCCUCAUUUCAUUCACGUAGGCCUCCAUCAACGGGCUCUGGUAAUCCUUGUUGACUUGCUUGACGACGAGCUGCGAAUCACCUCUGAUGAUGAGCUUCUUGAUUCUGAGGUCUGCCGCGAUCCUGAGACCGGCAAGCAACCCAUCAUACUCCGCCGUAUUGUUCGUUGAUUUCUCCCGGGGGAAGUGCAUCUGGAUUACAUACUUGAGGUGCUCUCUGGUGGGUGCGACGAGUAGCACGCCAGCACCAGCACCUUGGAGUGAGAAAGCUCCAUCAAAGUACAUAAUCCACUCACUGCUCGUCUCCCUGUCGAGAAGGGUGGUCUCUUGGAUCUCCUCGUCGGGCGUUGCGGUCCACUCUGCUAUGAACUCUGCCAAAGCUCGGCUCUUGAUCAUUGAGGUACUUCCAAACCUGAGGCCAAAGCUAGACAGCUCCAAUUCCCAAUCCACAAUCCUCCCUGUCGCAUCCGGGUUGUGCAAAAUCCGUUGCAAAGGGAGGCGGGUGACGACGGUGAUCUCGUGCCCUUGGAAAUAAUGGCGCAGCUUUCUCGAGGCCAUGAGGAGGCCGAAAAGCAGCUUCUACGUUCCAGAAUAUCUUGAGCUAGCCCCCUGCAAGAGGGAACUGACAAAAUACACUGGGUGCUGCACCAUCUUCUUCUUCUGUUCCACUUCACCCAUCCGCUCAGACUCUGCCUCGCCGGGGCCGGGCCUUGCCGGCGGUUCUGGUUUGCCGGCGUCAGGCCCUGCCGGGAGGACCCCGGCUCGCCAUCCGAUGGCUGUGCUGCAACUGCUGCUUCUCCCUCAAGUUCCCUCUGCGCCACCAGCGCAUCACUGACCACUUGAUUCAUUGCUGCAAAGUACAGUAGCAAUGGCUCCCGUGGUCUUGGCGCGACUAGUAUCGACGUGGAGGAGAGGUACCUCUUUAAAUCUUGCAGUGCUGCCUCUGCCUCCGGAGUCCAUUUUACUGGACCCGCCUUUUUCAAAACUUUGAAAAAGGGGAGGGCGCGCUUAGCAGAUUUGGAGAUGAACCUACUCAGGGCAGCAACGCAGCCGGCGAGCCUACAGACGUCUUUGACCCGUUUCGGCGCCUCAAUCUGCUCGAUCGCCUUUAUCUUGUCAGGAUUUGCUUCGAUUCCGUGUUGAGACACAAAGAACCCGAGAAGUUUGCCGGAGGGGACACCAAACACACACUUCUCUGGGUUGAGCUUGAGGUUGAUCUUGGGCAGAUUGGCGAAUGUUUCUUCUAUAUCUUGCACGAGCGUGGCCCUGUCCUUGGUUUCGACCACUAUGUCAUCCAUAUAAGCUUCCAUAUUUCUAUGUAGCUGGGGCUCAAAACCAAUCUGGACUACUCAGGCAAAUGUUGAAGCGCUCUUCAACCCGAAAGGCAUUCAUACAAAACAGUACGUACCACAUGGGGUGAUGAACGUGGUCUUCUCUUCGUCUUCCUUCAUCAUGAAGAUCUGGUGGUAUCCUGAGUAGGCAUCGAGGAAUGAUAGCAGGUCACACCCAGCAGUGGAGUCUAAAAUCUGGUCGAUGUGUGGCAGGGGAAAGGAUCCUUUGGACAUGCUUUAUUGAUGUUUGUGUAGUCAAUACACAGCCUCCAGUUCCCAUUUGCCUUACGCACCACCACCGGAUUGGCCAACCACGUGGGGUGGAGUACUCCUCUUACCAGGCCUCCCGCCUCCAACUUCCUGAUUUCUUCAAUGAUGAACUCUUGUUGCCCCAAAGCUUGCUUCCUGACCUUCUGCUUGACGGGCCGCGCGUGAGGACAGACAGCAAGAUGGUGCUCAAUCACCUCCCUGGGAACGCCGGGGAUGUCAGAUGCUUGCCAUGCAAAUACAUCGACAUUCGCCGGCAGGAAGGCGACGAGUGCGCUUUCCUAUUUGCUGUCGAGGGUGGAGCUUAUAGUGAAAGCCCCGCCCGUGCCGUCCUCCUUGACGGACACCUUCUUGGUUUCUGGUGGUGCAGCCUUGGACUUCUUUCUCUUGCCGGUGGAGCUCUCUGGCACGUCCUCAACGAGAGCAGAGCACUCCGAAGAGGUGCACUUGUCGGAGUGGGUGCAAGAGGUCUUGCCGGACUUCUUUCUUCCCGAGGCUUCAGCGGUAGGAGCAAGUGCCCUAACGGCAGCUGCUGCAAUUGCCUCUCGAUAGAGUUAGUCGGCACAGAUGAGCGCAUCUUUCUUGUCGGAGGGGACGGUGAUGAUGGUCAGCGGCCCCGGCAUCUUCAAUGUGUUGUAGGCGUAGUGUGACGCCGCCAUGAACUUGGCCAGCGCUGGGCGGCCAAGGACCCCGUCGUACGACAGGGGGAUCUCGGCAACAUCAAAAACAAUCUUCUCCGUCCUGAAGUUCAGCUCACCCCCGAAUGUAACGGGCAGCGUGAUUUUACCUUUCGGCUGACUCCUUCCCAGGUUGACCCCUUGGAAUGUGCCCGUCUCGUCGAGAUCUCCAUCAGGAAUCUGCAGCUUCUUGAUCACAGCGGGCGAGAUGAAAUUCAGACCGGCCCCACACUCAACCAGCACUUUGGUCACCUUGAGGUUGCGUAUUGUUGGUGAAACCAACAAUGGCAAACACCCGAUCGCAGUUGUGUGAUUAGGGUGGUCCUCGGUGUCAAAAACGAUGGGCGUGCGGGACCACUUCAGGGGCUUAUGGGCAUCGAAUGACGGCUCUACCGUAGUGACCUCACGCGCACACUGCUUCAGCUGGCAGUGUGAGGUGUGCAAUGAGGCGCCACCAUCGACGCACAUGGCCUCUAUAGCCUUCUGGAACUCGUGCUCGCCGGACUCGUCGUCCUCGUCCUGAUCAUCAUCUUCCUCUUUCUUGUCGCAGCCCUGAGCGGGCCUCUCUUGUUGGUUAUCUUUGCCGCAGCGACCCCCUUGGCCGCCACGCUUCUUGCCGGAUCCCUCAGCACCAUCCUGGCCCUUCUCCUUGUCUUGCCUUUCAUAUUCAGCCUUUUGCUUUUCCGCAAGCAGCUCAACCUGUCGGCAGUUUUGGAGGUCAUGGCCUUUGGUGCGGUGAAUCCUGCAGUACUGCUUGUCGGAGCCUCCUGGCUUGCCGGCGGCCCCAAGGCCAAGCAGGCGGCACACCCGGCAACCUCCUUGCCGGGGUCGUCAGCCUUGGCCUUUUUAGCGUCGCCGAGCUCGCCGGAUCCCUCAACGGCAAGCACAGUCUUGCCCUUGCUCUUCCUGUUGCGGCGCCAGCCCUUGUUUGUCGGGGCAGCGGUGUCUUUGUCUAUGGAGUCGGUUUCCGAACCGGCGUCCUCGCCGGUGUACUUCCUCCCCUCUUCAUCUCGAGCACAUCUACCCGCCAGAACAUAAAGUUCGGCCACAUCCUUGACCUUGUUCAUCGCCAACUCUUCACGCAUCUUGCGGUUGCGCACAUUCUGAUGGAAUGCACUGAUAACGGCGGAGGGAUGAACAUUUGGGAUGUUGUAUUGCACCCGGCUGAACAUCUGUAUGUACUUGCGCAGGUUUUCACCUUCUUUCUGGGGGAUGAUGUGCAAAUCGCUUGCCUGGCCAUGAGCUUGGUGGCCUCCAGUGAAGGCACCAAAAAACUCAUGACACAAAUCCGACCAUGAAGAAAUGGAAUCCACUGGCAAGUGCAUCAACCAUGACAUGAUGUUGGGUUUGAGUGCCAACGGGAAGUAAUUGGCAAGCACCUUGUCAUUGCGAGCUCCAGCAGCUUGCAUCGCGAUGGUGUAGAUGCUGAGGAACUCCAACGGGUGGGUCUUGUCGUUGUACUUCUCACCAACAUCGGGCUUGAACGUGCUGUGGGAGGGCCACUGGACUGUAAGUGCAUCUAGUGCCCCUUAGUUAUUUUGGUGUAUUGAAGACUUAUAGGUUAAGAGACUAAUGUGUUUAUGAAUGUACACAUGACUAUAAGUCUAUGAGGAGUUUGAUAUUUACAGAGAAAGUCGACCCCUAAAAAUGAAUGUCUUCGACUGAAGACUUUGGAUUUCUGAAGACUUUCUGAAGUCUUUGAAAGUGAAGAAAUUGGUCUGACCUUGAAGACUUAGCAUUCAUUCGAGGAACAGCAAGCGUGAAGACUUUUGUUUUCGUAGUUUCAUUUUCUCUUUCUUGAGUCAUAGGAAACACUGUACUGUUAAAGGGGGUCGAGGAAAUACGAAGGAAAAAUUUCCAAGUGAUGCUCAACUCAAAUCCUACACCUACCAAUCCCUUCGAGUGAAGCCAUUGGAAAUCUCAUACAGCUCAGUCAAUUUUUUCAGUGACAGAGACGAAGUUCUUCUGGUCUAUAAGGAAUUUGUUCUGACUGAGGAGUUAGGAAUUCGCCAGUGCGGAUUGCCUACACAGUGAGGAACAUGAUAGCCCCGAGGAAUUUGAUACUCAAAAUUCCGACCGUUGCUGUGCUAUGCGCCAGCUGUCCCAAAAUAUCUACCCACCAAACAGUCAUAUCAUUGAAGGGCAUUUAUGUCUUAUCAUGUCGGGCUGCUCCCUAGGCUAUAAAUAGCCGCCCCCUACAACCACUAGCUGGUUGGCUGCUCCGAGAGAAACUGACACUUGUCAUUUGAGAGCAUACCAUCCUCCGAGGACUUUGAGCGAAAAUCAUCAAGUGAGGAAAACCCAAACCCAAACACCUACAAACCCAAAGUGAUUGAGCAUCACUGAAGAGAUUGAUCCUGCGUGGAUCCGACGCUUGUUACCUUUGAAGACUGUGCAUCUUCCAGACGGUUAGGCGUCAUGGUCUAGAGCAUCUAAGAGGAAAUUGUGGAUCGCCGAGUGACCGAGUUUGUGAAGGUUUGGAAGUCACCUGAAAACUUACCAUGAGUGAUUGGGCGAGGUCUGUGUGACCUUAGCUCAAGGAGAAUACGGUGAGCACUGUGUGUCCGGGACUGUGUGUCCUAAGGUUUAAAUACCUAGCCACUCCAACCAGACGUACAACUGUCACAACAGAUGGAACUGGUCUACCAAAUCAUUGUCUUCACCAAGCCAACUGGUUCUAUUUCCUCAACUCUUCCAUUUCCUGAUUACAGUUGUUGUGUGCUUGUUCAUAUGUGUUUGAAGACUUUGACUGAAGACUUUCUCAAUCCCCUCAGUUCAAUUUCUUCAGUCUGUUUGUCUUCAUCCAGUGUUAUCCUGUGUUUACGCUUUCUGUACUCUGUGUUUGCUUUCAUUUCAUCAUGAUGAUCAUGUUUAUGUUCUACCAUGUUCUACUUCCUCACCCGCAAAUUCCUCAGUGAAGAAUUCUAAAAAAUCACCUAUUCACCCCCUCUAGUCGAUAUAACGCACUUUCAAUUGGUAUCAGAGCAAGGUACUCCCUUGUUCUGUGUGAUUUUAGUUUAACCGCUUGGAGUUAUAGUUAUGUCGACCACAGGUAUGAUCAAGGUCUCUACUGGGUGUCCUACCUUCGAUGGGACGGACUACCCCUACUGGAAGAAUAAGAUGCGAAUGCAUCUUGAGGCAAUUGAUAACGAUCUCUGGUAUGUUGUGGAAAAUGGUGUUCGCUCAGUCACACCUUCUGUGAACGCUGCUGAUGUGAAGAGAUUCAAGCAACUCGAUUCCCAAGCGAAGAACAUCAUAUGUGGCCAUCUGAGCAAAGGGCAGUAUGGAAGAGUGAGUGCUUUGGAAAUGGCUAAGCUUAUCUGGGAUAGGUUGUCCAAGGUCAAUGAAGGAGUCUCAACACAACGUGACUCUCGAGUUGACGUUCUUCACAAUCUCUUCAACCACUUCAAAAGACUCGACAAUGAAAAUGUUCAGCAAACCUUCGAUCUCCUCACUGACAUCUCAAAUGAGCUUCAAGCACUUGGUGCCACUGACAUCACCGACCAUGAGGUGGUGAAGAAAUUGCUGAGAUCGCUUGAUUCUUCAUUUGAUACUCUGGCACUGAUGAUUCAAGAACAUGGAGAUUACAAGUCACUUGAUCCCGCCGAUAUCCUCGAGAGGCUAAACACUCAUGAGUUCCAGCUUGCUGAGAAGAAAGAUCUCUAUGGUUUGAGCUAUGGCAGAUCAUGUGCCCUGAAGGCCAAGGCUGUCUCUGAAUCUGAAGGUGAAGAUUCUGGUAGUAGCCUUGGUGAUCCUGAAGAACUGAGCCAGGAGCUAGCACUGCUCGUGAAGAAAUUCCAGAAGUUCUCAAGACGUGGCCGUUUUGGAAAAUCCUCAAGGAGUAAUGAUUCCUCAUCCAAUGACUAGAAGAAGAGACUAUGCCACAAAUGCAAGAAACCUGGUCACUACAUUCAAGACUGUCCUCAGUGGGAAAAGGAAUCAAAGAAGAAGAAAUAAAGGAUUACAGUUCUGAUGACUCAAAGAAGAAGAAGAAAUCUUCAAAGUCUUCAUCAUCAAAAUCCUCGAAGUCUUCAUCUCACGAGAAGAGCAGCUCCAAGAAGGCUCGGGCAUUCAUUGGCAAGGAAAUGGACUUUGAGGCUGAAUCUGAGGAACAUGAGGAAGAGGAGGGAUUUGAGGAGUCCGAGUCUGGUGUGGCGAGCCUAGCUCUCGCUACUGCAUUUGUCAGCAAGUCCAUCUUCAACUCUGAAGAAAAUGGCUUCACCAACAAGGCUGAUGAAGGCAAUGAUGACUAUGCUCCCACCUAUUGCUUCAUGGCAAAGGGUGCCAAGGUACUCAAAUACCCCUCCUCUGAAUCAAGUGAGGAUGAAUCUGAUGAAAACCUCAAGCCUAGCUACUCUAAACUUGCUAAGAUUGCUGUGAAACAACAAAAGGCUUUUGAAAAGGUUCAAAACAUGCUGACAAAAGUGAUGACAUGUUGGGUGAAGAAAUGGAUCGCACUAAAACCUUGACUGAAAAUCUUCAGAGACUUCAGUCUAAGUUUGACAACCUUCAAAGUCAUCAUAACACUCUCUUAUCUGAUCAUGAGAAGCUUUCUUAUGAAUUUCUUCAAAGAAAGAAAAAUCUUGAAAAGCUAAGGGUAAGUUAUGAAGAUCUUCAGAAGGAGCACGAUUCAUUACUUGCUCAACAAAUAAGCGCUACUCAGGAAGAAUUUGUUCCUCCAUGUUUGAAGUGCAUUGAACGUGAAUCUACUAAUUCUUCACCUGAAUGUUCAAAUGCAUCUAAUGUUACAAAUUCUUCACCUGUCUCUGCUAUCACUAAUUUCUCAUCUGAGGACAUUGCUAGUAUCACUGAUAAUGCAGGGCUGAAGGAAUUGUACAUGAAAGGCAUGUACAAAAGCCUCAAAGGGCAUCAGGCUCUUUGUGAUGUGCUUAAAAAACAGAUCCUCAACAGGAACCCUAGAAAAGAGGGUAUUGCCUUUGAGAGGAAAAUCAAUGCUGGUGGGACAUACUGGAAGCCUGAGCAGUAUCCCAAAACAUCAUGGGUUGCUGCAAAGGGAGCUCCAGUAGAUCCAUCCACUUUAUCUGGCUUCACAUAUGAAUCUCCUCAUUCUGCUGACGAGUCAUUUGACUCCAACUAUAAACUGUUCAAAAAUCAGAAUGGUGAAGUAUUUGCUAGAUAUGUUGGCACUAACUACAGGAAUGGGUCUCCUAUGAAGAAAAUCUAGGUUCCCAAAAGGUGCCUUGAAAGUCUUCAGGUGAAUGUCCUCAUGACACCACCUGUGAAGAAUAGGAACCCCAGAUGAAAUUUUCAUAUGGACCAAAUUCUUCAUAUGGAUCCAAGUCCUCAUACGGACCAAAUUCCUCACGUGGAUCAAAUUCCUCAAGAGGAUCGAAGUCCUCAUAUGAACAUCAUCGUGCUAAUACUUCUAUUUCCGAGGGAAGAUCUAAGGGCUAUGAAUAUGAGCAUUAUUCUUCUAACCAUUAUGUUCAUAAGUCCUCGAAGAAUUUCUCUGCUUAUUCAUAUGCUUACCCUAACUCCUCUUAUGUGAAACGAAGUGCACUGGCUUCUAUGCCGCCUUUCUCGUAUGGAGCUCGCAGAGUGAUGAACUCUUUGCCACCCCUUCAGAUGUGGGUGGUGAAGAAAAAGAACUAAUUUCUUAUGCAGGGUCAGGUCUCCAGACGUGCUUAAACGUCUGAAGAAUUUGUUGGAGACCUGAAUUUGCCUGAAAGGACGCAGGCUAAUCAUGAAGAAAUGAAUCCUCAUUUCUCACGUCCUAAUACUGCUUUAUCUGUUCUAUUGCUUGAUGAAAUUGGUCUGAUGAAUUUGAUAUCAUAUUCUUCACUGAUGAAGUAUAUGAGUUCGUAAGCUGCACUAAUUCAUCUGUAGGAUGAUCAACACAAAGCCAAUGAGUGGGUCCUCGAUAGUGGAUGUACAAAUCACAUGACUGGUGACAAGAAUCUAUUGAUGGAUGUUCCCUUAUAUCCAUCGCAUCUGAAGCAUAUCAUCUUCGCUGACAAAGGUAAAAGUCAGGUAUUGGGUCUAGGUAAGGUUGCGAUCUCAAAGGAUCGACACAUGGACAAAGUCAUGCUUGUCGAGUCCUUAGGAUACAACCUCAUGUCUGUCUCAAUGCUUUGUGAUCUUGAUAUGGUUGUUGUCUUUGGCAAGUAUCAUUGUGUUGUGAUCAUGGAAGCUGACAGUUCCAAAGUCUUUGAAGGCUUUAGGAGAGGAGAUUUGUAUAUUGUUGAUUUCUCCACAGGACCUCAACCAGUUGUAUGUCUACUUGCAAAAGCUUCAGAAGGCUGGCUAUGGCAUCAACGACUUGGUCAUGCCGGCAUGAGGAAUUUGCACACGCUCGCGUAGAAGAAGCAUGUCAUUGGCAUUGAGAAUGUCAAAUUCCUCAAGGAUCAUUUGUGUGGAGCUUGCGAAGCUGGAAAGAUGACCAAGGCCAAACAUCCAGCGAAGACUAUCAUGACUACCACUCGACCAUUUGAAUUGCUUCACAUGGAUCUCUUUGGUCCUAAUCGUUAUUCAGUAGUUACAAAUGAUGCAUCUCUAUAUGGCUUUGUUAUUGUUGAUGAUUAUUCUCGUUACACAUGGGUGCAUAUUGUCACUUACAAACAUGAGGUGCAGGAAGUCUUCAAACGAUUUUCCUCGAGGGCUUCAACCAACUUUCGUGUGAAGAUCAAGCACAUCAGAAGUGACAAUGGAACUGAGUUCAAGAAUUCUGGUCUUGAUGACUAUCUUGAUGAACUUGGUAUUACUCAUGAGUUAUCUGCUCCUUACAGUCCUUAGCAGAAUGGCGUCCUGGAGCGCAAGAAUAGGACUCUUGUUGAGAUGGCUCGCACUAUGCUUGAUGAGUACAAGACGCCUCGUCGUUUCUGGAUUGAGGCAAUUGAUACUGCGUGCCACAUCGUCAACAGGGUAUAUCUUCACAAAUUCUUCAAGAAGACUAUGUACGAACUCCUCACUGACAAGAAACCCAAUGUGAGUUAUUUCAAAGUCUUCGGUGCUAAAUGUUGGAUUACAGAUCCCCAUCACAACUCUAAAUUUGCACCGAAAGCACAUGAGGGUUUUAUGCUUGGUUACGGAAAGGACUCGCACACCUACAGAGUCUUCAACAACGUUCACCACAAAGUUGUUGAAACUGUAGAUGUGCGGUUCGAUGAAACUAAUGGCUCACAAAGAGAUCACCUACCUUCUGUGUUAGAUGAACAGUCACCUGAGGAAACUAUCAAGUUCAAGGCUAAUGAGGAUGUCAUUCCUACUGAAGAAUCUGUUGAAGAAAUCAUUCCAGAACGUGAAGAACGUCAUGCUGAUGCACCUGAAGAAAAUGGUGCUGAAGAAAAUGCUGAUGAAAUUCCUCAACGACAACGCGCUCAUCCUCGCGUUGCAAACGAAGUGCAUAUUGAGAAAAUUAUCAGCGACAUCAACAUUCCAGGUCCUCUCACACGCUCAAAAGCUUCACAUUUGUCUAACUUUUGUGGGCGCUUUGCUUUCGUCUCUAUCACAGAGCCCACUAAGGUAGAUGAAGCAUUUCUGGAGCUAAGUGGAUUCAAGCUAUGCAAGAAGAAUUACAUCAGUUCGAGCUCAACAACGUCUGGGAACAGGUCAAACGUCCAGAUCCUCGCAAGCACAAUAUCAUCGGCACAAAGUGGAUCUACCGCAACAAGCAAGAUGAAAAUGGCCUUGUGGUGAGGAAUAAGGCACGACUUGUAGCACAAGGCUACACACAAGUUGAAGGAAUUGAUUUCGAUGAAACUUUUGCACCUGUUGCUAGACUUGAGGUUAUUCGCAUAUUACUUGCUUAUGCUAACCAUCAUGAUAUCACUUUAUAUAAAAUGGAUGUGAAAAGUGCAUUCCUCAAUGGUAAGCUUGAGGAAGAAGUAUAUGUUGCUCAACCCCCAGGUUUUGAAUAUCCAAAGCAUCCUGACAAAGUCAUCAGACUUAAUAAGGCCCUCUAUGGCCUCAAGCAGGCCCCUCGGGCGUGGUAUGAUACUUUGAAGGAAUUCCUCAUGAAGGAAGGCUGCAAACCAGUUCACUUGACCCAACUCUUUUCACUAAAUCUUAUGAUGGUUAAUUGUUUAUGUGCCAAAUUUAUGUUGAUGAUAUCAUUUUUGGCUGUACUGACCAAUGUUACAGUGAUGAAUUUGCCUAUAUGAUGUGUGAAGAAUAUCAAAUGUCUAUGAUGGGAGAAUUGAAAUUCUUCUUAGGUCUUCAAAUUCUUCAAUAGCGCAAUGGCAUAUUCAUAUCUCAGGAGAAAUACCUCAAGGAUGUACUGAGGAAAUUCGGCAUGCAAGAUUGCGAUGGCGUCAAAAUCCCUAUGCCCACCAAUGGCCAUCUAUGCACUGAUGAAAACGGUAUUGACUUUGAUCAAAAGGUAUACCGCUCCAUAAUUGGCUCUUUAUUGUAUUUAUGUGCAUCUAGGCCCAACAUUAUGCUUAGUGUUUGCAUGUGUGCCAGAUUUCAAGCUACACCGAAGGAAUCACAUCAUAAGGCUGUGAAGCAUAUUCUUCGAUAUCUAGCUCACACACCAACACUUGGAUUAUGGUACUCCAAGGGCUCAGCUUUUGAUCUCAUUGGAUAUUCAGACUUUGACUAUGCUGGUGAUCGUGUGGACCGCAAGUCAACAUCAGGCACAUGCCAUUUCCUCGGACGAUCUUUGGUGUGUUGGUCCUUGAAGAAACAGAACUGCGUAUCACUAUCUACUGCUGAAGCUGAGUACAUUGCUGCUGGUUCUUGCUGUGCUCAAUUGCUGUGGAUGAAGCAAAAUCUCAAGGACUACGGCGUCAACAUGAAGAAUGUGCCUCUCUACUACGACAAUGAGAGUGCCAUCAAGAUUUCUCAUAACCCAAUUCAGCACUUGAAGACAAAGCACAUUCAGAUUCAUCAUCAUUUUCUUCGCGAUCAUGUGUGGAAGGGCGACAUCUCUAUUGAGCAUGCGAGGACUGAAGAACAGCUAGCCGGUAUAUUCACAAAGCCCUUGGAUUAGAAGAGAUUUAGCAAGUUGCGGUGUGAGCUAAAUAUCCUAGAAUCUUCGAAUGUUCUUUGAAAAGGACACUCAUCCUAACACUUAUGAAAAAUUGAUGACUUAGAUGUGCAACACGCGAAGAAAUGUUUUUAUUCAAUCAAUGAAGACUAACACUCUAAGUGUGAAGAAAUUAACAAAGAAUUUGAUUCUCAGAACCCUACGACAAUUGUACGUGGUGUCUGAAAUCAUCAUUCUUAUACGGUGGGUCACGCCACCACCAAAAGUUGAAAAUCUUCAAUUUGAGUUUUUCCUCAGUUUUGAAAUUCCUCAGUUGUUCAAUUUCUUCAACUUUGCAAUGUCUUCACCAUUUCCGUCAUUUUUCUUCAUUGGCUAUAUAUAUAUAUAUGAGUUUAUGUCCUCUACAACUUUCACUUAUUGCUAUUUCUUCAAGUUGUCUUUUCUACUAAGUGAAUGUGAUCGGACCCUUCCCCCUCUAUGCGAAACUCAACCUAGUCUAUUCACAAAUUCUUCAUGUGCGUUCUAUUUGAAACUCGUUCAAAAUCUUCACUGUGUCCUUGUCAGCUAAAGAAUUUGCGAACGGAACUUUAAACCUUAUCUUAUCUGAAUUUUCGGCGUUUGCCGCUCAAACUGUUCCACAUUCCACAAUAAUACUUAUCUAUUCACCCACGAUCUCACACGAUCGCCACCUCUCAGUACGUGGGUGACACAUGUCAAGCGAAUGAGAAGGGUCAGGGGCACGUUCGUCCAAUUUCUUCGGACGAGUGGUUUUUCACUUCGGCUAUUAAUACCCCUCCCCUUCCUCACUUCGUUUUUACUCCGCUCGACCUCUCUCCCGCUCGAGCUUCUCAAAACCUAGCGCCGCCGCUACUUCAUCAUCGCCGGUGAGGAAGAGCUUCAUUGCCUCGACCUCGUCACCGUCGUGCUCGCGCCGGCUACAGAUUUCUCCACUCCUCCGCCGCCGUAGCUGUCUUCCUCUACCAAGUUAGGGCGUGGAAGAUCUGAACCAAUGAGCCUCACAUCUACACUUCCCAUUUCAUCGUGUUCUCCUUCCAGGGUAAUUAAAAGUUACUUUUACUUCCCUCUUUAAUUCAAAUAUUUUCUACAAAAUCUUCAAAAGGUGUUUAUACUUCAAAUCUUCACACACUAAACACCUCACAUGUCAUCUGUUCUUGAUCCUUUUCUCUAAGCAACAUUUUUCUUCAAGAUUCCUCAAUUGUGUGGAUUUUCAAUCUGUACAACUCUGGAACCUAAGACAAAGAACGCUUAGUGAAAUUCUUCAAGGCUCAUCUGGUCAAAUUGCUCAAACUUGUUCUUAUUGCAAAACCUUCCGAGAACGCAUAUGACCUCUCCAAAUUUCCUCGCAACUAUACUCUGUUCACAGGUACACAUGUCCGCUGCUGAAUCACUAGGUUCUCAUCAGCUUAACUCAUUUGCAGCGUUCCUUGAAGAAAAGUUGCACACCUCUUCAGAGAAUUCCAUUGCUCAAAUUCCUCAGCUGAAGAAAAUGGCUGACGGUAAGAAGCUUCAUAAGGGAGGAAAGAGGCCUGAGAUCAAUACUGCUUUCGAGAUUCCUGAUGACAUAUACAAGGAUUAUUGCACUCCUGAUGAGGCCAAAUUUGGCAAGGAGGACAAAAAUCAGCGCAAGGUGCGCAUACAAAGGAUAGAGAGGAGAUGGGCACGGGAAUGGAGGGAGUACAGAUAUGUUACUCCCAAGUAUAUGAAGAAAUUUGCUCUUAAUCCUCCAUGCCCAAGACCUCCAUUGGCACCUGGCCAAGAAGCUGAUCCCACCAGCCUCAAGCAUGGUGAGGACUAUCCUGAUGAAUGGGCCAAGCGCCAGGCCAAGCUAGCCAAAAUGGCUAAGGAAGCAGUGAGGAAAUUUAAUGAAGACUCUGCUGCUGCUGCCACCACAGCUGAGGCCUCUGCAAGCAAGCCAAAGAAGGCCACGGCAAAGAAGCCUGCUCAUAAGCCAAGUGCUUCACUCCCAAUGCCCUCACGGCCAAGUUCCUUAGCAAUGCCCUCACGGCCAGAUUCUUCAAAGCCCUCAUGGCCAAUUCCUCAAGCUACUCCAACUCCUCCAAAGUCCUCAGCUCCUCCGUCAAAAUCCUCAGCACCUGUGCAUCUCGCCACGUGCCAAAGGACAACAGGCAUCUCUAUUGCCUUAGGAGCUUCUGCUAGUUCUUCAGCUCCACCCAAUUCAUCAACUGGCCCCUCUCUGCUGAAGAAAAAGGCCACUGCUGGACGAGGCUCUCGACCAAGUCCUCACAAGAAGCAGGUCGCCUUUCAAGUGCCGUCUGAUGAAGACGAAGCUGAUCAUCAGGGACAGGCAACUCAGGGCUGCUAGAGCCAAAGGCACAAAUGUGCAUCUUCUUUUGGAUCCAAAAUUGAUCCUUGAUUACAUUGAUCUCUGGCACAAGGACCCCAACACUCCUAUGCCUGACUUCAAAUUGACUCCUGGCCAAAGUCAUAUGUUGACUGCCUUCAUUCAGGAAGAAAAAAAGAAAUUUGAAAAGGCCAUGCAGUUGAAGAAAGCGCAGUACAAGAAGGAGCGCUUCCUGAAGAAAAACGUUGUCUCUAUGACAACUGAAGAACUUGUCACUACUCAAUCUGAGAUCAAGAAACUCAGUGAUGAAUUUGACACUUACCGCGCUGAUUGGCUGGGAGCCAAGGUCCAAAUUCACUUCCAAUGUUGCAGCCCCAACGCAACAAGAAAAUCCUCAGGCUGAGGCAUCUGCUCAGCCGACUGAAGAAAAUGCCAGCACUGCCAAUGAAAAUCAGGCUGCUGAAGAACUCAGAGUAUCAGGGCUGAUGACUGCAUUCCAGCCGCUGAAGAAAUUGCCAGGGCAACCACUAGUGUUGCACCUGAAGAAACUGAAGAAGUCAGGGCAACUGCAUUAGUUGUGCCUGAAGUAAUUGAACCAAAUUCCUCUGCUCCUCCUGCACCUACCCCAACUCCAAUCCUUCCGUGUACAUCAGAUGUGAAGAAGACCAAGGCUGCAAAGCGUGCAACGGUGAAGAAAAGGAAAGCAUCAACUUCAUCAGAUUCUUCAGCUCCGAAGAAGAUGAAGCCAUUGACCAGCUCUUUUGAGAAUCCAAUUGAUGCUAUUCCGGUCUCAUCCAUGCCAUCAAAGGACAUUGUUCCUUUUGAUGAAGAAUAUGUGAUCCCAAGUGGAUCAGAUGAAGAGAUUCCUUCUGCUGCUUCGUCAGAGCAGUUGGAUGAAGAAAUUGAAGCGGAUGCGGUCCCUUCAACCCCAAUAGUCUCAUCGCCCAUGCCUCAGUUCACUGCUGAAGAGGCCGGUGUUGAAGAAAAUAGUGAAGAAGAAGAUGUAGACAUUGGGUGCACAACUCCAGUGUUGAACGAUGACUUUUGGGAAAGUCAGCACCCCAAUUCUCCUCUGUUCACACCUCUGCGACAAAUUCCUCAGUGCCCUGUGAAUACUGAAGUACAGAUGGGAUCUGAAGAACCUCAUGCCAAACCAUCUGUCCAUGAAGAGAUUCCAGCCACUAGUGCUGAAGAAAAUGUUAAUGAAGAAUUGAAGACCCAGGCUGUCACUGAAGAAGAAGCUGGAAUUCCUCAGCCAGUGGAUCCUGAGAUUGCGAUUCCUGAGGUGGUGAUGCAAUUGACCGAUACCCCUCAGCCCAAGCCAAAGGAUCCCUUCUCAAAGAAGCAGAAAUUCAAGGCUGAUGACUUCUUCGGCGAGCAUGUGUUCUUCACAGACUAUAAUCCUUAUGACUCUGCUCGUCUUAGAAGGAAGCGCUUCUGGACUGCUAGCCAAGAAUUUUUUUAUUCUUCACUGCUCUCCAACAAGGACAAAGUCUUCGACCAUGAGCAUAUUCCUCACGUGGACAUGGAAUCACUGCCUUGCUUCACCCCGGUCCUUAGUGUGCUUCAUGAUGCAGGACUGCUCAACUUUUGCACGGAUAUUUGCGAUUGGAAUGAAGAGCUCAUUCUUCAAUUCUAUGCAACUCUGCAUAUCACAGGCGAUGCUGAUGAUGUGAACUCUUGGGUUUUGGACGAGAUGACCGAUAAUACCCACUAUAAAGCACCGUCCUCUGAAUUACUUCAUGCCCUGCCAAUCAGUCCUCCCCUUGAAGGACCUCGUUGCCUGUACCAUGAGCCUGAACUCACUGCCCAUUACGUGCAAGUGCUAAUGAAGCCUUUGAAGCCCGGUCAAGCCCCAAGGACCAAAUUCCUCAUGAAGGAAUUGCUAUAUGUGCCAAGAACAGUUUAUCGCAUUCUGACAAAGACUUUGAGUCCUAUCAAAGGCCACGACUCGACUAAUGAAGAAGUCGUUGGCAUCAUGAAGAAUUUGCUGUUCAAUAUCAUGCAUGGCAUUCCUGUCAACUAUCAUGAUUUCUUCAUGAGGACUCUGGAAAAUGUUGCACUCUCUCCAUUUGAGUUGAAGCCUUACGCACCUUGGAUUAUGAGAUUCCUCAGAAUAAGGUCUUCACUCAACUACAAGGCUGAUUUUCAGAAUCACCUCAGCUACUUGCCCCCAAUUGAAGUCCUCAAGCGGACAUAUUCCUCAGCUGAUGAAAAGGGCAAGGCCACUGCUGUUAUUGAUGAAGGCAAAAGAAAAGGUUUUUCUAUGAUUUAAGGCAUUACUUCUGGGAUGACCCACACCUUUAUAAAGGAGUAGAUGGGGUUAUUAGACAUUGUGUACCUGAUCAUGAACAGGAACAGAUCCUACGCAAGUGUCACUCCGAGGCUUAUGGAGGACACCAUGCUGGAGAUAGAACUGCACAUAAGGUAUUGCAAUCCGGCUUUUACUGGCCUACUCUUUUCAAAGAUGCCCGUAAGUUUGUCUUGUCUUGUGAUGAAUGUCAAAGAAUUGGUAAUAUUAGUAGACGUUAAGAAAUGCCUACAAACUAUUCACUUGUUAUUGAACCAUUGAUGUUUGGGGCUUUGAUUAUAUGGGACUGUUUCCUUCCUCUAAUGGAUAUACACAUAUUUUAGUUGUUGUUGAUUACGUUACUAAGUGGGUAGAAACUAUUCCAACUAGUAGUGCUGAUCAUAACACCUCUACUAAGUGUUGGAAAUAUGCCCUAGAGGCAAUAAUAAAUGGUUAUUAUUAUAUUUCUUUGUUCAUGAUAAUUGUCUAUUGUUCAUGCUAUAAUUGUGUUAUCCGGAAAUCGUAAUGCAUGUGUGAAUACAUAGACCACAACGUGUCCCUAGUAAGCCUCUAGUUGACUAGCUCGUUGAUCAACAGAUAGUCAUGGUUUCCUGACUAUGGACAUUGGAUGUCAUUGAUAACGGGAUCACAUCAUUAGGAGAAUGAUGUGAUGGACAAGACCCAAUCCUAAGCAUAGCUCAAAGAUCGUGUAGUUCGUUUGCUAGAGCUUUUCCAAUGUCAAGUAUCUUCUCCUUAGACCAUGAGAUCGUGCAACUCCCGGAUACCGUAGGAGUGCUUUGGGUGUACCAAACGUCACAACAUAACUGGGUGACUAUAAAGGUACACUACGGGUAUCUCCGAAAGUGUCUGUUGGGUUGGCACGGAUCGAGACUGGGAUUUGUCACUCCGUAUAACGGAGAGGUAUCUCUGGGCCCACUCGGUAAUGCAUCAUCAUAAUGAGCUCAAUGUGACUAAGGAGUUAGUCACGGGAUCAUGCAUUGCGGUACGAGUAAAGAGACUUGCCGAUAACGAGAUUGAACAAGGUAUUGGGAUACCGACGAUCGAAUCUCGGGCAAGUAACAUACCGAUUGACAAAGGGAAUUGUAUACGGGAUUGAUUGAAUCCUCGACAUCGUGGUUCAUCCAAUGAGAUCAUCGUGGAACAUGUGGGAGCCAACAUGGGUAUCCAGAUCCCGCUGUUGGUUAUUGACCGAAGAGGCGUCUCGGUCAUGUCUGCAUGUCUCCCGAACCCGUAGGGUCUACACACUUAAGGUUCGGUGACGCUAGGGUUGUAGAGAUAUGAGUAUGCGGAAACCCGAAAGUUGUUCGGAGUCCCGGAUGAGAUCCCGGACAUCACGAGGAGUUCCGGAAUGGUCCGGAGGUGAAGAAUUAUAUAUAGGAAGUCCAGUUUCGGCCACCGGGAAAGUUUCGGGGGUUAUCGGUAUUGUACCGGGACCACCGGAAGGGUCCCGGGGGUCCACCGGGUGGGGCCACCUAUCGCGGAGGGCCCCAUGGGCUGAAGUGGGAAGGGAACCAGCCCUUAGUGGGCUGGGGCGCCCCCCAUGGGCCUCCCCCCUGCGCCUAGGGUUGGAAACCCUAGGGUGGGGGGAGGGCGCCCCACUUGACUUGGGGGGAAGUUCCCCCCCUUGGCCGCUGCCCCCCCAUAGAUGGGUUCUUGGCCGGCGCCCCCCUUCCCAGGGGGCCUAUAUAAAGGGGGGGAGGGAGGGCAGCAAUACGACAGCCUUGGGCGCCUCCCUCCUCCCCUGCAACACCUCUCCCUCUCGCAGAAGCUCGGCGAAGCCCUGCCGAGAUCCCGCUACAUCCACCACCACGCCGUCGUGUUGCUGGAUGUCCAUCAACCUCUCCUUCCCCCUUGCUGGAUCAAGAAGGAGGAGACAUCGCUGCUCCGUACGUGUGUUGAACGCGGAGGUGCCGUCCGUUCGGCACUCGGUCAUCGGUGAUUUGGAUCACGGCGAGUACGACUCCAUUAACCUCGUUCAUUGGAACGCUUCCGCUCGCGAUCUACAAGGGUAUGUAGAUGCACUCCUUUCCCCUCGUUGCUAGUAUACUCCAUAGAUGGAUCUUGGUGAUGCGUAGAAAAUUUUAAAAUUCUGCUACGAUCCCCUACAGUGGCAUCAUGAGCCAGGCCUAUGUGUAGUUACUAUGCACGAGUAGAACACAAAGCAGUUGUGGGCGUAGAUGUUGCCAAUUCUUCUUGCCGCUACUAGUCUUAUCUUGUUUCGGCAGUAUUGUGGGAUGAAGCGGCCCGGACCGACCUUACAUGUACGCUUACGUGAGACAGGUUCCACCGACUGACAUGCACUAGUUGCAUAAGGUGGCUAGCGGGUGUCUGUCUCUCCCACUUUAGUCGGGACGGAUUCGAUGAAAAGGGUCCUUAUGAAGGGUAAAUAGAAAUUGGCAUAUCACGUUGUGGUUUUACGUAGGUAAGAAACGUUCUUGCUAGAAACCUAUACAAGCCACGUAAAAACUUGCAACAACAAUUAGAGGACGUCUAACUUGUUUUUGCAGCAUGUGCUAUGUGAUGUGAUAUGGCCAGAAGAUGUGAUGAAUGAUAUAUGUGAUGUAUGAGAUUGAUCAUAUUCUUGUAAUAGGAAUCACGACUUGCAUGUCGAUGAGUAUAACAACCGGCAGGAGCCAUAGGAGUUGUCUUUAUUAUUUUGUAUGACCUGCGUGUCAUUGAAUAACGCCAUGUAAAUUACUUUACUUUAUUGCUAAACACGUUAGCCAUAGAAGUAGAAGUAAUCGUUGGCGUGACAACUUCAUGAAGACACAAUGAUGGAGAUCAUGAUGAUGGAGAUCAUGGUGUCAUGCCGGUGACGAAGAUGAUCCUGGUGCCCCGAAGAUGGAGAUCAAAGGAGCAAAAUGAUAUUGGCCAUAUCAUGUCACUAUUUGAUUGCAUGUGAUGUUUAUCAUGUUUUGCAUCUUAUUUGCUUAGAACGACGGUAGUAAGUAAGAUGAUCCCUUAUGAUAAUUUCAAGAAAGUGUUCCCCCUAACUGUGCACCGUUCCGAAGGUUCGUUGUUUCGAAGCACCACAUGAUGAUCGGGUGUGAUAGAUUCUAACGUUCGCAUACAACGGGUGUUGACGAGCCUAGCAUGUACAGACAUGGCCUCGGGACACAUGCAAUACACUUAGGUUGACUUGACGAGCCUAGCAUGUACAGACAUGGCCUCGGAACACGGAGGACUGAAAGGUCGAGCAUGAGUCGUAUAGAAGAUACGAUCAACAUGGAGAUGUUCACCGAUCUUGACUAGUCCGUCUCACGUGAUGAUCGGACACGGCCUAGUUAACUCGGAUCAUGUUUCACUUAGAUGACUAGAGGGAUGUCUAUCUGAGUGGGAGUUCAUUGAGUAAUUUGAUUAGAUGAACUUAAUUAUCAUGAACUUAGUCUAAAAUCUUUACAAUAUGUCUUGUAGAUCAAAUGGCCCACGUUGUCCUCAACUUCAACGCGUUCCUAGAGAAAACCAAGCUGAAAGAUGAUGGCAACAACUAUACGGACUGGGUCCGGAACCUGAGGAUCAUCCUCAUAGCUGCCAAGAAAGAUUAUGUCCUAGAAGCACCGCUAGGUGAACCAAUCCCAGAGAACCAAGACGUUAUGAACGCUUGGCAAUCACGUGCUGAUGAUUACUCCCUUGUUCAGUGCGGCAUGCUUUACAGCUUAGAACCGGGUCUCCAAAAGCGUUUUGAGAAACACGGAGCAUAUGAGAUGUUCAAAGAGCUAAAAAUGGUUUUCCAAGCUCAUGCCCGGGUCGAGAGAUAUGAAGUCUCCGACAAGUUCUUCAGCUGUAAAAUGGAGGAAAAUAGUUCUGUAAGUGAGCACAUACUCAGAAUGUCUGGGUUACACAACCGCUUGUCUCAGCUGGGAGUUAAUCUCCCGGAUGACGCGGUCAUUGACAGAAUCCUUCAGUCGCUUCCACCAAGCUACAAGAGCUUUGUGAUGAACUUCAAUAUGCAGGGGAUGGAAAAGACCAUUCCUGAGGUAUAUUCGAUGCUGAAAUCAGCGGAGGUGGAGAUCAGAAAAGAACAUCAAGUGUUGAUGGUGAAUAAAACCACUAAGUUCAAGAAGGGCAAGGGUAAGAAGAACUUCAAGAAGGACGACAAGGGAGUUGCGCUCGGUAAGCCAGUUACCGGGAAGAAGUCAAGGAAUGGACCCAAGCCUGAGACUGAGUGCUUUUAUUGCAAGGGAAGUGGUCACUGGAAGCGGAACUGCCCCAAAUACUUAGCGGACAAGAAGGCCGGCAACACCAAAGGUAUAUGUGAUAUACAUGUAAUUGAUGUGUACCUUACCAGUACUCGUAGUAGCUCCUGGGUAUUUGAUACCGGUGCGGUUGCUCAUAUUUGUAACUCAAAACAGGAACUGCGGAAUAAACGGAGACUGGCGAAGGACGAGGUGACGAUGCGCGUCGGGAAUGGUUCCAAGGUCGAUGUGAUCGCCGUCGGCACGCUACCUCUACAUUUACCUACGGGAUUAGUUUUAAACCUCAAUAAUUGUUAUUUAGUGCCAGCUUUGAGCAUGAACAUUGUAUCUGGAUCUCGUUUAAUGCGAGAUGGCUACUCAUUUAAAUCCGAGAAUAAUGGUUGUUCUAUUUAUAUGAGAGAUAUGUUUUAUGGUCAUGCCCCGCUGGUCAAUGGUUUAUUCUUGAUGAAUCUCGAACGUGAUGUUACACAUAUUCAUAGUGUGAAUACCAAAAGAUGUAAAGUUGAUAACGAUAGUCCCACAUACUUGUGGCACUGCCGCCUUGGUCACAUUGGUGUCAAGCGCAUGAAGAAGCUCCAUGCAGUUGGACUUUUGGAGUCUCUUGAUUACGAAUCAUUUGACACGUGCGAACCAUGCCUCAUGGGUAAGAUGACCAAGACUCCGUUCUCCGGAACAAUGGAGCGAGCAACCAACUUAUUGGAAAUCAUACAUACCGAUGUGUGCGGUCCAAUGAGUGUUGAGGCUCGCGGAGGAUAUCAUUAUGUUCUCACUCUCACUGAUGACUUAAGUAGAUAUGGGUAUGUCUACCUAAUGAAACACAAGUCUGAAACCUUUGAAAAGUUCAAGGAAUUUCAGAGUGAGGUUGAGAAUCAACGUGACAGGAAAAUAAAAUUCUUAUGAUCAGAUCGUGGUGGAGAAUAUUUAAGUCACGAAUUUGGUACACACUUAAGGAAAUGUGGAAUCGUUUCACAACUCACGCCGCCUGGAACACCUCAGCGAAAUGGUGUGUCUGAACGUCGUAAUCGCACUCUAUUGGAUAUGGUGCGAUCUAUGAUGUCUCUUACCGAUUUACCGCUCUCAUUUUGGGGCUAUGCUUUAGAGACUGCCGCAUUCACUUUAAAUAGGGCUCCGUCGAAAUCCGUUGAGACGACACGUAUGAAUUAUGGUUUGGGAAGAAACCUAAGUUGUCGUUUCUAAAAGUUUGGGGAUGCGAUGCUUAUGUCAAGAAACUUCAACCUAAAAAGCUCGAACCCAAGUCGGAGAAAUGCGUCUUCAUAGGAUACCCUAAGGAAACUAUUGGGUAUACCUUCUACCUCAGAUCCGAAGGCAAGAUCUUCGUUGCCAAGAAUGGGUCCUUUCUGGAGAAAGAGUUUCUCUCGAAGGAAGUAAGUGGGAGGAAAGUGGAACUUGAUGAGGUGAUAGUCACCCCUUUCGUACCGGAAAGUAGCGCAGCGCGGAAAGAUGUUCCUGUGGUGCCUACACCGACUGGGAGGAAGUUAAUGAUGAUGAUCAUGAAGCUUUGGAUCAAGUUACUGCUGAACUUCGUAGGUCCACAAGGACACGUUCCGCACCAGAGUGGUACGGCAACCCUGUCCUGGAAAUCAUGUUGUUAGACAACGGUGAACCUUCGAACUAUGAAGAAGCGAUGGCGGGCCCGGAUUCCGACAAAUGGCUAGAAGCCAUGAAAUCCGAGAUAGGAUCCAUGUAUGAAAACGAAGUAUGGACUUUGACUGACUUGCUCGAUGAUCGGCGAGCCAUAGAAAAUAAAUGGAUCUUUAAGAACAAGAUAGACGCGGAUGGUAAUGUGACCAUCUAUAAGGCUCGACUUGUCGCUAAGGGUUAUCGACAAGUUCAAGGGGUUGACUACGAUGAGACUUUCUCACCCGUAGCGAAGCUGAAGUCCGUCCGAAUCAUGUUAGCAAUUGCCGCAUACUAUGAUUAUGAGAUAUGGCAGAUGGACGUCAAAACGGCAUUCCUUAACGGCUUCCUUAAGGAAGAAUUGUAUAUGAUGCAGCCGGAAGGUUUUGUCGAUCCUAAGAAUGCUAACAAAGUAUGCAAGCUCCAGCGCUCAAUCUAUGGGCUGGUGCAAGCAUCUCGGAGUUGGAACAUUCGCUUUGAUGAGAUGAUCAAAGCGUUUGGGUUUACACAGACUUAUGGAGAAGCCUGUGUUUACAAGAAACUGAGUGGGAGCUCUGUAGUAUUUCUCUUAUUGUAUGUGGAUGACAUACUAUUGAUGGGAAAUGAUAUAGAAUUCUUGGAAAGUAUAAAGGCCUAUUUGAAUAAGUGUUUUUCAAUGAAGGACCUUGGAGAAGCUGCUUAUAUAUUAGGCAUCAAGAUCUAUAGAGAUAGAUCAAGACGCCUCAUUGGUCUUUCACAGAGUACGUACCUUGACAAGAUAUUGAAGAAGUUCAAUAUGGAUCAGUCCAAGAAGGGGUUCUUGCCUGUAUUGCAAGGUGUGCAAUUGAGCACGGCUCAAUGCCCGACCACGGCAGAAGAUAGAGAAAAGAUGAGUGUCAUCCCCUAUGCCUCGGCCAUAGGGUCUAUUAUGUAUGCCAUGCUGUGUACCAGACCUGAUGUAAACCUUGCCAUGAGUUUGGUAGGAAGGUACCAAAGUAAUCCCGGCAUGGAACACAGGACAUCAGUCAAGAAUAUCCUGAAGUACCUGAAGAGGACUAAGGAUAUGUUUCUCGUUUAUGGAGGUGACGAAGAGCUCGUCGUAAAGGGUUACGUCGACGCUAGCUUCAACACAGAUCUGGAUGACUCGAAGUCACAAACCGGAUACGUGUAUAUUUUGAAUGGAGGAGCAGUAAGCUGGUGCAGUUGCAAGCAAAGCGUCGUGGCGGGAUCUACAUGUGAAGCGGAGUACAUGGCAGCCUCGGAGGCAGCACAGGAAGCAGUCUGGAUGAAGGAGUCCAUUACCGACCUAGGGGUGAUUCCAAAUACGUCGGGCCCGAUGACUCUCUUCUGUGACAACACUGGAGCUAUUGCCCUUGCGAAGGAGCCCAGGUUUCACAGGAAGACCAGGCAUAUCAAGCGCCGCUUCAACUCCAUUCGUGAAAGUGUUCAAAAUGGAGACAUAGAUAUUUGUAAAGUACAUACGGACCUGAAUGUAGCAGAUCCGUUGACUAAACCUCUCCCUAGAGCAAAACAUGAUCAACACCAGCACGCAAUGGGUGUUCGAUUCAUCACAAUGUAACUAGAUUAUUGACUCUAGUGCAAGUGGGAGACUGUUGGAAAUAUGCCCUAGAGGCAAUAAUAAAUGGUUAUUAUUAUAUUUCUUUGUUCAUGAUAAUUGUCUAUUGUUCAUGCUAUAAUUGUGUUAUCCGGAAAUCGUAAUGCAUGUGUGAAUACAUAGACCACAACGUGUCCCUAGUAAGCCUCUAGUUGACUAGAUCGUUGAUCAACAGAUAGUCAUGGUUUCCUGACUAUGGACAUUGGAUGUCAUUGAUAACGGGAUCACAUCAUUAGGAGAAUGAUGUGAUGGACAAGACCCAAUCCUAAGCAUAGCUCAAAGAUCGUGUAGUUCGUUUGCUAGAGCUUUUCCAAUGUCAAGUAUCUUCUCCUUAGACCAUGAGAUCAUGCAACUCUCGGAUACCGUAGGAGUGCUUUGGGUGUACCAAACGUCACAACGUAACUGGGUGACUAUAAAGGUACACUACGGGUAUCUCCGAAAGUGUCUGUUGGGUUGGCACGGAUCGAGACUGGGAUUUGUCACUCCGUAUAACGGAGAGGUAUCUCUGGGCCCACUCGGCAAUGCAUCAUCAUAAUGAGCUCAAUGUGACUAAGGAGUUAGUCACGGGAUCAUGCAUUGCGGUACGAGUAAAGAGACUUGCCGAUAACGAGAUUGAACAAGGUAUUGGGAUAUCGACGAUCGAAUCUCGGGCAAGUAACAUACCGAUUGACAAAGGGAAUUGUAUACGGGAUUGAUUGAAUCCUCGACAUCGUGGUUCAUCCGAUGAGAUCAUCGUGGAACAUGUGGGAGCCAACAUGGGUAUCCAGAUCCCGCUGUUGGUUAUUGACCGAAGAGGCGUCUCGGUCAUGUCUGCAUGUCUCCCGAACCCGUAGGGUCUACACACUUAAGGUUCGGUGACGCUAGGGUUGUAGAGAUAUGAGUAUGCGGAAACCCGAAAGUUGUUUGGAGUCCCGGAUGAGAUCCCGGACAUCACGAGGAGUUCCGGAAUGGUCCGGAGGUGAAGAAUUAUAUAUAGGAAGUCCAGUUUCGGCCACGGGGAAAGUUUCGGGGGUUAGCGGUAUUGUACCGGGACCACCGGAAGGGUCCCGGGGGUCCACCGGGUGGGGCCACCUAUCCCGAAGGGCCCCAUGGGCUGAAGUGGGAAGGGAACCAGCCCUUAGUGCGCUGGGGCGCCCCCCAUGGGCCUCCCCCUGCGCCUAGGGUUGGAAACCCUAGGGUGGGGGGCGCCCCACUUGACUUGGGGGGGGGGAAGUUCCCCCCCCUUGGCCGCCGCCCCCCCAUAGAUGGGUUCUUGGCCGGUGCCCCCCCUUCCCAGGGGGCCUAUAUAAAGGGGGGAGGGAGGGCAGCAAUACGACAACCUUUGGCGCCUCCCUCCUCCCCUGCAACACCUCUCCCUCUCACAGAAGCUCGGCGAAGCCCUGCCGAGAUCCCGCUACAUCCACCACCACGCCGUCGUACUGCUGGAUCUCCAUCAACCUCUCCUUCCCCCUUGCUGGAUCAAGAAGGAGGAGACGUCGCUGCUCCAUACGUGUGUUGAACGCGGAGGUGCCGUCCGUUCGGCACUCGGUCAUCGGUGAUUUGGAUCACGGCGAGUACGACUCCAUCAACCUCGUUCAUUGGAACGCUUCCGCUCGCGAUCUACAAGGGUAUGUAGAUGCACUCCUUUCCCCUCGUUGCUAGUAUACUCCAUAGAUGGAUCUUGGUGAUGCCUAGAAAAUUUUAAAAUUCUGCUACGAUCCCCUACAUUAAGAUGCUUAAAGAAGUUAUUUUUCCGAGGUUUGGAGUCCCUAGAUACUUAAUGACUGAUGGUGAUUCACAUUUUAUUCAUGGUGCUUUUCGUAAAAUGCUUGCUAAGUAUGAUGUUAAUCAUAGAAUUGCAUCUCCAUAUCACCCACAGUCUAUUGGUCAAGUAGAACUGAGUAAUAGGGAGAUUAAAUUAAUUUUGCAAAAGACUGUUAACAGAUCUAGAAAGAAUUGGUCCAACAAACUUGAUGAUGCAUUAUGGGCCUAUAGAACUGCAUAUAAAAAUCCUAUGGGUAUGUCUCCGUAUAAAAUGUUUUAUGGAAAAGCAUGUCACUUAACUCUCAAACUAGAACAUAAGGCAUAUUGGGUGUAACGCCCACGAUGCGGCUAUAUCUCCCACGUGUCGAGGCACGACUUAGAGGCAUAACCGCAUAGUGGUUUUGUCGCAAGAAGGGUCAUCUUCACACAAUGCCAUGUAAUGAACAAGAAUGGGAUAAAGAGUUGGCUUACAAUCGCCACUUCACACAAUACAUGAACAUAAUUCAUACAUCAUCCAAAAUACAAUCAAAUAGACCGACUACGGUCAAAAUCCAGAUGAAAAUAAGACAACCCCAAAUGCUAGAUCCCCGAUCGUCCCAACUGGGCUCCACUACUGAUCGUCAGGAAAAGACACAUAGUAACGACCACGUUCCUCGUCGAACUCCCACUUGAGAUCGACCCCAUCAUCCGCACUGGCAUCGUCGGCACCUGCAACUGUUUUGGUAGAAUCUGUGAGUCACGAGGACUCAGCAAUCUCACACCCGCGAGAUCAAGACUAUUUAAGCUGGUAGGAAAGGAUGGUGUAAUGCGGUGGAGCUGCAGCGGCAACAAGCAUAUAUGGUGGCUAACAUACGCAAGAGAGAGCGAGAAGAGAAGCAACGGAGCGGUCGUCAUCUAGCAAUAACCAAGAAGUGAUCCUGAACACCUACUUACGUCAUACAUAACUCAGACCGUGUUCACUUCCCGGACUCCGCCGAGAAGAGACCAUCACGGCUACACACGCAGUUGAUGUAUUUUAAUUGGGUCAAGUGACAAGUUAUCUACAACCGGUCAUUAACAAAUUCCCAUCUGCCUCAUAACCGCGGGCAUGGCUUUCGAAAGAUAAUACCCUGCAGGGGUGUCCCAACUUAGCCCAUCAUAAGCUCUCGCGGUCAACGAAGGAUAAACCUUCUCCCGGAAAGACCCGAUCAGUCUCGGAAUCCCGGUUUACAAGACAUCUCGACAAUGGUAAAACAAGACCAGCAAAGCCGCCCGAAUGUGCCGACAAAUCCCGAUAGGAGCUGCACAUAUCUCGUUCUCAGGGCACACCAGAUUGUCCAAGCUUCCGAUAGGCCAGCCCAGAGUUGCCCCUGGUGGCCACCGGCGACUGACAGUUUAGACCAAUACUCAGAGGAGCAUUGGCCCGGGGGUUUAAAAUAAAGAUGACCCUCGGGCUCGCGAAAACCCGGGGGAAAAGGCUUAGGUGGCAAAUGGUAAAACCAAGGUUGGGCCUUGCUGGAGGAGUUUUAUUCAAGGCGAACUGUCAAGGGGGUCCCAUAAAUCACCCGACCGCGUAAGGAACGCAAACUCAAGGAACAUAAUCCCGGUAUAACAGUAACUAGGGCGGCAAGAGUGGAACAAAACACCAGGCAUAAGGCCGAGCCUUCCACCCUUGACCAAAAUAUAUAGAUGCAUUAAUUAAAUAAGAGAUAUUGUGAUAUCCCAACAUAUCCAUGUUCCGACAUGGAACAAACUUCAACUUCACCUGCAACUAGCAACGCUAUAAGAGGGGCUGAGCAAAAGCGGUAACUUAGCCAAACAACGGUUUGGUAGGAAAAGAUGGUUAGAGGCUGACAUGGCAAAAUGGGUGGCAUGAUAUAGCAAGUGAUAUGUAGCGUAGCAUGGCAAUAGAGCGAACAACUAGCAAAGCAAAGAUAGAAGUGAUUUCGAGGGGUGGUCAUCUUGCCUGCAAGGUUCUCAGAGUUGUCGAAAGCUUGAUCCUCGUAAGCGUACUCAACAGGUUCCUCGUUCACGAACUCGUCUCCCGGCUCUACCCAAGACAAGAACACAAACAAACGGAACCACAAUCAACCACGAGAAAUGCGCAAGCAACAUGAUGCAAAACAUGUAUGAUAUGCGAUGCAUAUGCGUGCUCCGGAAGGAAAAUGAUGAACAUGGCAGUAACUUGGCAAACCAAGCAUCCCACUGGAAAGGUGAGAUGAUUUCAGUCGAAAUCGAUAUAAAGAUCACCGGAAACGGAUGCACGGUUUGCAAAUGGCAAGCAAAACAAGAAUGACACGAAACUGCGAUUAACAGCAUGAUAGCACUUAAAAUGCAACAAGCAACAAUGCUACAGCACUACAACAUAGAAACAAAGCAUAUGACAGUAAUCUACAGGAGAUGCUUGACAAAAGAUGAACACUGAGCUACGGCUAGUUCACAAGAUAUCAAGCUCAAACAAGCAUAGCAAAAGUGCAAAAGAUAAAAGGAUGACAGACUUGGUGAAAAACUGGACAUGGCAGAAAACAGCAUCAGGUAGCAAUGUUCAGAGCACGAAAUCAACAUGCUACAGGAACUUAACAUAGCAAAACAAGGCAUGACAGUGUUCUACUAAACGCAUAUGACAAAAGUCCCUUACUGACCAUAAGCCAAAAAGGAGCAGAAGAUAUGAUGGCAAGCAUGUAAACAUAGCAAGUUUCGUUAUCAGGUUUCAGACUUGGCAGAAAACAGAGCAUGGCAGAAAUAAUAAUAUGUAGGCCUCUUUGUGAGCUUGAUGCACUCACUACAGAGCAAUGCAUGACAAACUAAGCACACCUACAUCAAGAUGGCAUGUUUAUGAAGCUAUCCAUGGCAAGAACAAUUGCAUAGCAUGUAUGGAUCAACUACAAUAAGCUUGGCAAAAAUGAAUAACAUGUUAAGAAUCUGCCAGAAAUAUUUUAUAGCAAAAGUAGAGCAAGAUUGAGUCAUGCUAUGGCACUCUAUAAUUGCAAACAAGUGCAGGAAUGGAUCAAUUACAACUAUAUCUACAAAACAUCCUACUGAACUUCUUCAAAAUAUGCAUGAAUCUCUCUGUAGCAUCAAGUUUACAUGGCAAUAAAAUAACAGCAGACAAGGACUUGGAGAAAUCACUGUCCCAGAAAUCAGAAAUAUUACGGGGCCUACUUUGCAUGCUUGUGCUAGUCACCACAGAGAUCACAAAAAUAAAUGGACUACACCACUGGAAAGAUGGCAUGGCAUACUUCAAGACACAUGUAGAGCUGAUGCUCAUAAGAUGCACAGAUUAAAAGAUACAAAAAUGACAAAUCUCCAAGUUCUGUUGAGAACCAGAGAAUAACAGCAACUAGCCCUCUUCCAACAGAGAUUUGGGCAUCAAGAUGACCUCUAAUGAACAUGGUGCAAUUGAACAAAAUGAAGAGCAUCACGAGGCGAACAAUUUGACAUAUUACACGCACGAAUCGGAGCUACAUGCAAGGAGUUAUGGCAUCACGAACAGGGCUAUAUGCUGGAAAAGAUUGAGGACUUUGGAAUUUUCGGGGUCGCGAGAAAGUCAACUCACGAGGGAUCUUCCAGAUCCGAUCGAGCGAAGGGGCUCGGGCUCGGGCUCCGGCCUCGCCGGCGAUGGAGGAAGAGGAGGCGGCGAGNNNNNNNNNNNNNNNNNNNNNNNNNNNNNNNNNNNNNNNNNNNNNNNNNNNNNNNNNNNNNNNNNNNNNNNNNNNNNNNNNNNNNNNNNNNNNNNNNNNNNNNNNNNNNNNNNNNNNNNNNNNNNNNNNNNNNNNNNNNNNNNNNNNNNNNNNNNNNNNNNNNNNNNNNNNNNNNNNNNNNNNNNNNNNNNNNNNNNNNNNNNNNNNNNNNNNNNNNNNNNNNNNNNNNNNNNNNNNNNNNNNNNNNNNNNNNNNNNNNNNNNNNNNNNNNNNNNNNNNNNNNNNNNNNNNNNNNNNNNNNNNNNNNNNNNNNNNNNNNNNNNNNNNNNNNNNNNNNNNNNNNNNNNNNNNNNNNNNNNNNNNNNNNNNNNNNNNNNNNNNNNNNNNNNNNNNNNNNNNNNNNNNNNNNNNNNNNNNNNNNNNNNNNNNNNNNNNNNNNNNNNNNNNNNNNNNNNNNNNNNNNNNNNNNNNNNNNNNNNNNNNNNNNNNNNNNNNNNNNNNNNNNNNNNNCGGGGGCCUCGCGGGCCGGCGCGGUGGCGGCGACGGGCUGAUGACGUGGCGCGUGCUGAUUCACCGGGCGGUGCGGGCGGACUUUGUCCGGUGGCGCGAGGUGGAAGACGCUAGGGUUUGACUGCGAUUGUAAUUUCGGGAUGCCCACAUAUUUAUAGGUAGAGGGAGCUAGGAGGCUCCAAAUGAGGUGCGGUUUUCGCCCACACGAUCGUGAUCGAACGACCUAUAGCAUGGAAGAGAGUUUGGUGGGUUUUGGGCUGGUUUUUGAGGGGGUUUUGCUGGACACUCAAAUGGACAUUGCGGAUGCCCGAUUAACCGUUGGAGUACCAAACGACCUCCAAAUGGAACGAAACUUGACCGGUGGUCUCCGAGUGGUAUAUUAAGGCCACUUGACAAGCCUCGGUCCAUUCCGAGAAAGUUUGACACCCGCACACGAAAGAAAACGAAAGGGGUGCACCGGGGGAGAUAGGAGCGCCGGAUUGCAAAACGGACAACGGGGAAAAUGCUCGGAUGCAUGAGACGAACACGUAUGCAAAUGCAAUGCACAUGAUGACAUGAUAUGAAAUGCAUGACAUGACAAAAUGCAAAAACGAAAAACAAAACCCGACCACGGAGGGAAUAUCAUAACACAUAGCCGAAAAUGGCAAGAGUCGGAGUUACAAAUAUGGCAAGUUACAUGCGGGGUGUUACAACACUCCACCACUACGAGAGGAUCUCGUCCCGAGAUCUAGGACUGAAAGAACUCCGGAUAUUCAGAACGGAGGUGGUCCUCGCGUUCCCAUGUGGCUUCCCGGUCGGAAUGGCGCGACCACUUCACUUUCAGGAAUUUGAUUGACUUGUUGCGAGUCUUGCGCUCAAUUUCUUCAAGAAUAGCAACGGGGUGCUCAUGAUAAGACAAAUCUUCUUGGAGGUCAAUCUCUUAGAAGUUGAUAGUGCGCUCAGGCGUCUUGAAGCACUUGCGGAGCUGUGACACGUGGAACACGUCGUGCACGUUCGCGAAGUUGGAAGGAAGCUCAAGUUGAUAGGCGAGGUCGCCUCUUUUGCCAAUGAUCUUGAAAGGACCCACGUAUCUAGGGGCAAGCUUCCCUUUGAUACCGAAGCGACGAGUGCCUUUCAUUGGAGAGACGCGGAGGUAGACAUGGUCUCCGAUCUCGAAAGCCAAAUCACGGUGCUUACUAUCAUAGUAACUCUUCUGGCGCGAUUGCGCGGCUUUGAGAUUAUCACGGAUGACUUUACACAUUUCUUCAGCUUCAGUGAUUAAGUCAUUGCCAAGAAUUUGGCGUUCACCAGUCUCUGACCAAUUGAGAGGAGUACGGCACUUUCUGCCAUAGAGAAUCUCGAACGGGGCCUUGCCCGAACUCGCUUGGAAGCUGUUGUUGUAGGAGAAUUCAGCAUAUGGGAGACAAUCUUCCCAUUUCAUGCCAAAGGAAAUGACACAAGCCCUGAGCAUAUCUUCAAGAAUUUGAUUGACUCGCUCGACUUGGCCACUAGUUUGAGGAUGGAAAGCUAUGCUGAAGCGAAUGUUUGUGCCCAUGGCCUUCUGGAAAGAGUCCCAGAACUUAGAGGUGAAGAUGCUUCCACGAUCUGAAGAAAUCAAUUGUGGAAUGCCGUGCAAGGAGACAAUUCUGGAUGUGUAAAGCUCUGCCAGCUGAGCUGCUGUGAUGGAUUCUUUGAUUGGAAGGAAAUGAGCCACUUUAUAAAGCUUGUCGAUGACAACGAAGAUAGCAUCAUUUCCGCGCUUGGACUUUGGAAAACCAGACACGAAGUCCAUUUCGAUAUGAUCAAACUUCCAUUCUGGGAUAGCAAGAGGUUGGAGGAGACCAGCUGGUCGUUGGUGUUCUUCUUUCACUCUUCGACAGACAUCACAUUCAUUCACGAACUGAGCAAUUUCUCGCUUCAUUCGAGUCCACCAAAACGACUGCUUGAGGUCAUGAUACAUCUUCGUACUUCCAGGAUGAAUGGACAGGAGAGAAAUGUGCGCCUUGUUCAUUAUGACUUUCCUUAGAUCACCUUUAGGAACCACAAUCCGGUCCUCGAAGAAUAAAGUGUCUCUGUCAUCAAUGCGAUAGCACUUGUAUUUGGAAAGACCCUUGUCGAUACCACGUUUGACCUUCUUCACCAUGGCAUCAAGGAGUUGUGCCUCACGAAUUUGAUCUUCCAAAGUAGGCGAUACUAUGAGGUUGGCAAGAAAGCCUUGAGGGACAACUUGGAGAUUCAGCUUGCGGAAAGCUUCACAAGGAUCCGGUUGGAAAGGCUUGAGAAUUAAGCUGUUGCAAUAAGCCUUCCUGCUUAAAGCAUCUGCAAUGACAUUUGCUUUGCCUGGAGUAUAUUCAAUACUCGAAUUGUACUCUUGAAUCAUUUUGACCCAUCGAGUCUGCCUGAGGUUGAGGUUGGGCUGAGUGAAGAUAUACCUGAGACUCUUGUGAUCGGUGAAAAUGUCCACUUGUCUACCCAACAAGAGAUGUCUCCAUGUUAUUAAUGCAUGGACAACUGCCGCCAACUCAAGAUCGUGAGUGGGGUAGUUCUUCUCGUUGGGCUUCAACUGACGAGAGGUAUAGGCGACAACUUUCUUUUCUUGCAUUAACACAACACCGAGACCUUGGAGAGAAGCAUCACAGAAAACUUCAUAUGGCUUGGAUUCAUCAGGAGGAGCUAAGACAGGAGCUGUGACUAGUUUCUCUUUGAGAGUGUUGAAAGCAACAUCACACUCAGGAGACCAGACAAAUUUCACAUGCUUCUGGAGGAGGUUGGAAAGAGGCUUUGCAAUCUUGGAGAAAUUCUCAACGAAUCUUCGGCAAUAGCUUGCAAGACCAAGAAAACUGCGGAGCUGCUUGACAUUCUGAGGAGGUUCCCAAUUCACAAUUGCGGACACCUUCUCGGGGUUAACAGCGAUGCCCUUGGCAGAGAUGAUGUGACCAAGGAAAAGAACUUCAUCGAGCCAAAACUCACAUUUAGAGAACUUCGCAUAGAAUUGAUACUCUCUGAGCUUGUCGAGCACCAAUCGCAAAUGUUUGGCAUGAUCCUGCUUAUUCUUGGAGAAGACCAAGAUAUCAUCGAGAUACACCAGGACGAAUUCAUUGGUAUAGGGGUUGAAGAUGAAAUUCAUCAUCCGAGAGAACACUGGAGGAGCAUUGACAAGGCCGAAAGACACGACAGUAUAUUCAUAAGAACCAAAGCUCAUUCUGAAUGCUGUCUUGGGAAUAUCUUCUUCACGAAUGCGAAUCUGAUGAUAACCCAUACGAAGGUCAAGCUUCGAGAAUACUUUAGCACCUUUGAGUUGCUCAAAUAGCUCAUUGAUGUUGGGAAGUGGAUACUUGUUCUUGAUUGUCUUCUUUUUCAAUGGACGGUAGUCGACACAAAGUCGGUCCGUGCCAUCCUUCUUCUUGACAAAAAGAACACCACAACCCCAUGGAGAAGAACUCGGUCUGAUCAAACCCAGACGCUCUUGUUCAUCGAGCUGUUUCUUCAAUUCCUUCAGCUCGUUGGGUCCAAGCUUGUAUGGACGCUUGCAAACGGGUUCAGUACCAGGCUCUAGUUCGAUAACGAACUCAACUGGCCGAUGAGGAGGCAUACCCGGAAGCUCUUCUGGAAAGACAUCUUGAUACUCACAAACGACUGGAAUUUGAGAGAUGGCAUUCAAUUCGCCCUUCUCAUUGAGAGAAAAGAACCGAAUGGUUUCAUCACCAGCGGCAUAAAUAAUCACAUCCUCAGACGAGUGUGUCAAUUGAAUUUCCCUGGCAGCACAAUCAAGUUGAGCCUUGUGCUUAGAAAGCCAGUCCAUCCCGAGAAUAAGAUCAAUAUCCGAGUCACCAAGAACAAUUGGAGAAGACUGAAAUUUAUAGUCGCCCAUCUUGAUGGUAACAUCCGGAACCAUGGAACUUGCAUUCAUGCAUUUGCCCGGAGAGACAACUGCUAACGGUCUAGGCAAUCCUUGGAAAUGCAAUUCAUGCUUGGAUGCAAAAGGUCUUGAUAUGAAAGAAAGCGAUGCACCAGUAUCAAAAAGAACUUUUGCGGGAAUAUCAUUAACAGGAAGAUUACCCAUUAUCACAUCAGUAGAUUCCUUCGCUUGAGCUGCAUUCAUCAUGUUCACCUUUGCAAACUUUGGAUUAUGCUUGACCACUGCAUUGCUGGAAGAUCUGACAGGGGGAGGAGGAGGCAGACGCCUUUGGUUGAAGCACUUGUUAGCAUAGUGACCUUUCUGCUGACAUUUGUUGCAAGUCACCUCUGAGAGUGGACGGUGAUAAGGAGCAUUGGACUUUGGAGCUUGAUUUUGAGACUUGUUCUGAUAGCCAGAGUUGGAAGAACCAUGGCCACCUUUGUUCUUCUGCUGGUAAGGCUGACGAAACGGAGGAGGAGGAGGCAACCAGAACUUCUGUUGCUUAGCUGUCACAAGUGAGGAGGAAGAAGACUGAACUGCGUCUCUGACUCUCUUCUUACAAGCCUCAUACUUGAGCUGAGCAGCCUCUUGCUUCAGUGCCAUAUUAUAGAAUUGAUCAAACUGAGUAGGCUCAACAAGAACGAGAGCUAACUGCAGAUCCUCCUUAAGGCCACCUCUGAAGUGAUAGAUCAUGCUCUUUUCAUCAGGAACGUCUUGUUUAGCGAAGCGAGCAAGUUUCUGAAACUGGAUAUUGUAUUGAUACACAGACAUGUUGCCUUGCUUGAGAUUGCGGAACUCCUCACGCUUGCUCUCAACAACACUUUGUGGAAUGUGGUGCGCUUUGAAGUCCCGACAGAAGUCAGUCCAAGUGAUCACACGACCUCCUCUGGAAUCUUUGUAUUGUUGAUACCAAUCAGCAGCUUGGUCCUUGAGCUGGAAAGAAGCGAACUUGACAUAGUCCUCAGGCCUGACAUUGCUACAUUCAAAAUGCUUGUUGAUGUCCAUGAGCCAAUCAUCGGCAUCCGUGGCCUCGGCACAGUAGCUGAAAGACUUGGGCUGAUUUGCGAGAAACUGGUUGAGUGUAGCAAAGUGAAACUGAUUGUUGCCUUGACCUUGAUUGCCUUGCCCUUGAGUACGUUCUUGCAAGAGUUGCAGAAUCAUCUGAGCAUUGGCGUUGGUGGCUGCCAUGAUAGCCUGCCAUGCCUCCGGAGGUGGAGGUGGUGGCGGAGGGUUCGCUUGACUCCCUUCAUUGCGAUCCGGAUUCUGACGCGUUGGCGGAGCCAUCCUGAAGAGGGUGACAUCCGUUAGCAUCUUGAUAGACAAAUAGAUAAGUAGAAUCAACGGAUAGAAAUUGCAACAUGUAGUCUUCACAAUAAACAUUCGAACGAAGAUGAACGAAUGAAUUCCGUAGUAAAAGAUCACACUUCCAUAAGUUGAGAAGCCACUUGAAAAAGAUAUGGAAUCAACAUAUGAAUUCGAAGCAACUCGAAUACCACAAUUCAAAACAAAACAAAGUAUUGGCUUGCAGAAUAAGCCGGAACAAACAUAUGAUAGAGGUUUCGUCUGAAGUUUUCGUGGUGGGGCCCACACGGGCUCAAUCGUACAGCACCAUCAUGUACAAGGCUGUGCACAUGACAUACGAAGCGUCCCCGAGUCGGCAUAGCCAUGGACUCUUUAAGACACUACGAGACCACUGUAAAAUCAACCGUGUACAGGCGGACCACUAGAUGUCGAACCCCAAUCUCAUAUCAUGCGUCUGUCGGAAAGAUAUCCUAAGGCUACUUGAAUUCCCACUUAUAAACUCCCGAAACUUUCUGGUUAUGCAAUCUGGUGUAGGGGAUACAGGGGACACAAAAUAUAUCACCCAAACUAACAAUCCCUAGAUCCAGCUGUAUCCAUCCGUCAACACAUAACCAAGAAACCUUCAGAAAUCGUUUACCUCAACCUUAGAAAAGCAUCCGUUAUACAAGUUAUGGCAAUACUCCCGAACUCCCGCCCCAGUACUGGGUGGCGUCGAGGUGAUCUCACCAACAACUGCAUAAAAGAGAUUUCGAUGUCGGCGAAACUCAGGUAUUCCAGAACUGCAACGAUAAAAUUGUGACGACAACACCUCGGAGCUCAACUCCCCGGGACACUGCCACAACCCCUAAAUGUCAGGAGGCACCAAGAACAAUGUUCUCGUCACAAAACCAUUGGAACGAUUCCAAGAUACCCGCGUGAUCCUAAAUUUUUUUUUUUUGUGAAAUUUGAGGAGAGAAUAGUCAAAACUUCUACGUCAGGAGACCUCACCAGAGCGACGAAGGGACUGAGGAGUAAAAAGAAUCCUACUCUCCGAUAUAUAUAAUCCUAAGAUUCAAAAUAUUUUUGUUCUAGACUCCUGAUUACCAACUUGUAACGCCAACGAUUCGAUCAAGCAGGGGGCUCCUAAGUCGGGGAUGGCUCUGAUUACCAACUUGUAACGCCCACGAUGCGGCUAUAUCUCCCACGUGUCGAGGCACGACGUAGAGGCAUAACCGCAUAGUGGUUUUGUCGCAAGAAGGGUCAACUUCACACAAUCCCAUGUAAUGAACAAGAAUGGGAUAAAGAGUUGGCUUACAAUCGCCACUUCACACAAUACAUGAACAUAAUUCAUACAUCAUCCAAAAUACAAUCAAAUAGACCGACUACGGUCAAAAUCCAGAUGAAAAUAAGACAACCCCAAAUGUUAGAUCCCCGAUCGUCCCAACUGGGCUCCACUACUGAUCGUCAGGAAAAGACACAUAGUAACGACCACGUUCCUCGUCGAACUCCCACUUGAGAUCGACCCCAUCAUCCGCACUGGCAUCGUCGGCACCUGCAACUGUUUUGGUAGAAUCUGUGAGUCACGAGGACUCAGCAAUCUCACACCCGCGAGAUCAAGACUAUUUAAGCUGGUAGGAAAGGAUGGUGUAAUGCGGUGGAGCUGCAGCGGCAACAAGCAUAUAUGGUGGCUAACAUACGCAAGAGAGAGCGAGAAGAGAAGCAACGGAGCGGUCGUCAUCUAGCAAUGACCAAGAAGUGAUCCUGAACACCUACUUACGUCAUACAUAACUCAGGCCGUGUUCACUUCCCGGACUCCGCCGAGAAGAGACCAUCACGGCUACACACGCAGUUGAUGUAUUUUAAUUGGGUCAAGUGACAAGUUAUCUACAACCGGUCAUUAACAAAUUCCCAUCUGCCUCAUAACCGCGGGCACGGCUUUCGAAAGAUAAUACCCUGCAGUGGUGUCCCAACUUAGCCCAUCAUAAGCUCUCGCGGUCAACGAAGGAUAAACCUUCUCCCGGAAAGACCCGAUCAGUCUCGGAAUCCCGGUUUACAAGACAUCUCGACAAUGGUAAAACAAGACCAACAAAGCCGCCCGAAUGUGCCGACAAAUCCCGAUAGGAGCUGCACAUAUCUCGUUCUUAGGGCACACCGGAUUGUCCAAGCUUCCGAUAGGCCAGCCUAGAGUUGCCCCUGGUGGCCACCGGCGACUGACAGUUUAGACCAAUACUCAGAGGAGCACUGGCCCGGGGGUUUAAAAUAAAGAUGACCCUCGGGCUCGCGAAAACCCGGGGGAAAAGGCUUAGGUGGCAAAUGGUAAAACCAAGGUUGGGCCUUGCUGGAGGAGUUUUAUUCAAGGCGAACUGUCAAGGGGGUCCCAUAAAUCACCCGACCGCGUAAGGAACGCAAACUCAAGGAACAUAAUCCCGGUAUAACAGUAACUAGGGCGGCAAGAGUGGAACAAAACACCAGGCAUAAGGCCGAGCCUUCCACCCUUGACCAAAAUAUAUAGAUGCAUUAAUUAAAUAAGAGAUAUUGUGAUAUCCCAACAUAUCCAUGUUCCGACAUGGAACAAACUUCAACUUCACCUGCAACUAGCAACGCUAUAAGAGGGGCUGAGCAAAAGCGGUAACUUAGCCUAACAACGGUUUGCUAGGAAAAGAUGGUUAGAGGCUGACAUGGCAAAAUGGGUGACAUGAUAUAGCAAGUGAUAGGUAGCGUAGCAUGGAAAUAGAGCGAACAACUAGCAAAGCAAAGAUAGAAGUGAUUUCGAGGGGUGGUCAUCUUGCCUGCAAGGUUCUCAGAGUUGUCGAAAGCUUGAUCCUCGUAAGCGUACUCAACAGGUUCCUCGUUCAUGAACUCAUCUCCCGGCUCUACCCAAGACAAGAACACAAACAAACGGAACCACAAUCAACCACGAGAAAUGCGCAAGCAACAUGAUGCAAAACAUGUAUGAUAUGCGAUGCAUAUGCGUGCUCCGGAAGGAAAAUGAUGAACAUGGCAGUAACUUGGCAAACCAAGCAUGCCACUGGAAAGGUGAGAUGAUUUCGGUCGAAAUCGAUAUAAAGAUCACCGGAAACAGAUGCACGGUUUGCAAAUGGCAAGCAAAACAAGAAUGACACGAAACUGCGAUUAACAGCAUGAUAGGACUUAAAAUGCAACAAGCAACAAUGCUACAGCACUACAACAUAGAAACAAAGCAUAUGACAGUAAUCUACAGGAGAUUCUUGACAAAAGAUGAACACUGAGCUACGGCUAGUUCACAAGAUAUCAAGCUCAAACAAGCAUAGCAAAAGUGCAAAAGAUAACAGCAACUAGCCCUCUUCCAACAGAGAUUUGGGCAUCAAGAUGACCUCUAAUGAACAUGGUGCAAUUGAACAAAAUGAAGAGCAUCACGAGGCGAACAAUUUGACAUAUUACACGCACGAAUCGAAGCUACAUGCAAGGAGUUAUGGCAUCACGAACAGGGCAAUAUGCUGGGAAAGAUUGAGGACUUGGGAAUUUUCGGGGUCGCGAGAAAGUCAACUCACGAGGGAUCUUCCAGAUCCGAUCGAGCAAAUAGGCUCGGGCUCGGGCUCCGGCCUCGCUGGCGAUGGAGGAAGAGGAGGCGGCGAGGGAGGGAGGCGGCGCCGGUGGAGGGAGGCGGCGGUGGCGCGCCGGAGGCGGCGAGGGGCGCCGGCGGGCACGGGCNNNNNNNNNNNNNNNNNNNNNNNNNNNNNNNNNNNNNNNNNNNNNNNNNNNNNNNNNNNNNNNNNNNNNNNNNNNNNNNNNNNNNNNNNNNNNNNNNNNNNNNNNNNNNNNNNNNNNNNNNNNNNNNNNNNNNNNNNNNNNNNNNNNNNNNNNNNNNNNNNNNNNNNNNNNNNNNNNNNNNNNNNNNNNNNNNNNNNNNNNNNNNNNNNNNNNNNNNNNNNNNNNNNNNNNNNNNNNNNNNNNNNNNNNNNNNNNNNNNNNNNNNNNNNNNNNNNNNNNNNNNNNNNNNNNNNNNNNNNNNNNNNNNNNNNNNNNNNNNNNNNNNNNNNNNNNNNNNNNNNNNNNNNNNNNNNNNNNNNNNNNNNNNNNNNNNNNNNNNNNNNNNNNNNNNNNNNNNNNNNNNNNNNNNNNNNNNNNNNNNNNNNNNNNNNNNNNNNNNNNNNNNNNNNNNNNNNNNNNNNNNNNNNNNNNNNNNNNNNNNNNNNNNNNNNNNNNNNNNNNNNNNNNNNNNNNNNNNNNNNNNNNNNNNNNNNNNNNNNNNNNNNNNNNNNNNNNNNNNNNNNNNNNNNNNNNNNNNNNNNNNNNNNNNNNNNNNNNNNNNNNNNNNNNNNNNNNNNNNNNNNNNNNNNNNNNNNNNNNNNNNNNNNNNNNNNNNNNNNNNNNNNNNNNNNNNNNNNNNNNNNNNNNAGGCGACGACGGCGGGCCACGGGGGCCUCGCGGGCCGGCGCGACGGCGGCGACGGGCUGAUGACGUGGCGCGUGCUGAUUCGCCGGGCGGUGCGGGCGGACGUGUCCGGCGCGGGCGGACUUUGUCCGGUGGCGCGAGCUGGAAGACGCUAGGGUUUGACUGCGAUUGUAAUUUCGGGAUGCCCACAUAUUUAUAGGUAGAGGGAGCUAGGAGGCUCCAAAUGAGGUGCGGUUUUCGCCCACACGAUCGUGAUCGAAUGACCUAGAGCAUGGAAGAGAGUUUGGUGGGUUUUGGGCUUGUUUUUUAGGGGGUUUUUGCUGGACAUUCAAAUGGACAUUGCGGAUGCCCGGUUAACCGUUGGAGUACCAAACGACCUCCAAAUGGAACGAAACUUGACCGGUGGUCUCCGGGUGGUAUAUUAAGGCCACUUGACAAGCCUCGGUCCAUUCCGAGAAAGUUUGACACCCGCACACGAAAGAAAACAAAAGGAGUGCACCGGGGGAGAUAGGAGCGCCGGAUUGCAAAACGGACAACGGGGAAAAUGCUUGGAUGCAUGAGACGAACACGUAUGCAAAUGCAAUGCACAUGAUGAGAUGAUAUGAAAUGCAUGACAUGACAAAAUGAAAAAAAGAAAAACAAAACCCGACCACGCAGGGAAUAUCAUAACACAUAGCCGAAAAUGGCAAGAGUCGGAGUUACAAAUAUGGCAAGUUACAUGCGGGGUGUUACAUUGGGUCAUUAAAGAGCUCAAUUAUGAUUCAAACUUGCCGGUGAGAAGAGACUAUAUUUGACAUUAGCUCACUUGAUGAGUGGAGAACCCAGGCCUAUGAGAAUGCCAAAAUAUUUAAAGAAAAAGUUAAAAGAUGGCAUGACAAACGGAUACAAAAGCGUGAGUUUAAUGUAGGUGAUUAUGUUUUGUUACAACUCUCGUUUAAGGUUUUUUGCAGGAAAACUCCUCUCUAAAUGGGAAGGUCCUUACAUUAUCGAGGAGGUCUAUUGUUCCGGUGCCAUAAAAAUCAACAACUUCGAAGGUACAAAUCCGAAGGUGCUGAACGGUCAAAGAGUCAAACAUUAUAUCUCACAUAAUCCCAUAAAUGUUGAAACCAAUGUUAUUGAUACCGUAACCUCGGAGGAGUACAUUAGGGACACUUUCCAGAACGUUUCAGAGUCCGAAAAGGAAUAGGUAUGUGGUACGGUAAGUAAACCGACUCCAAAACAGUUCUAAUAGCAAUUUUUCUCCGUUUUGGAAUAUUUAAGAAAAUAGGAAAAUAAGAAGUAGUCUGAAAGGUACACCAGGCAUCCACGAGGGUGGAGGGCGCGCCCCCCUACCUCGUGGGCACCUCGUGAGCCCUCCGGACUCCAUUUUCUUGCAUGAUACUUCUUUAGUCAGUGAAAAUUCAUUAUAUAAACUCCCAAAGGUUUUGACCACCGUACCACGCAAAUAUCCCCUGUUUUUGUUCCGAGCUAUUUUCUGCCAGAGUUUUCAAGGCCAGGCAUUAUGUCGUCCCCCUCCUCCAACAACGCGGGAGACGAUGCUUGGCUAAUGAAGAUAGAGAUGAAGAGAGAAGAACUUGGGGAGAUAAACAAGGGUGAUAGGAUCAAGAAGGCCACAGAGGAUCAAGCUCUGGCAGCAGAAGAAGAAGACAUCCUUCAACCUUACUAUAACCAUCUUACCCCUACUGAAAUAGAAGCUUUCAAGAUAAUUGAAAUAGUUCGGGUGCAAAACAAGUAUCUCACUCGUGAAAAUAUUUUGUUGCAAGAAUACAUCACCGCACUCAAGGGCAUUAUUCGCAAAUUGGAGAAUCUCCUACGCUCGAUGUGUGACACGACUUCAUCAACAACUCCAUCAUCACCACCUACAAAGAAAGAGACAUAAAUACAUGGGUAUGGGCACUCCCCUUGGCAACUGCCAAGCUUGGGGGAGGUGCCCCGGUAUCGUAUCACCAUCGCAAUUCUAUCUUUAAUGUUUUUCUUAGUUCGAUCCUUUUGGUUAUAUCUUGAUCUAGUAGAAUAAAGUUUAGUAUGAUCUAGCUUUGAGUUUUUGUGUUGAUCCUUAUCUAUGUAAUUGAGUCCGUGAGCUAUAUAUAAUAAAGAUUAGUGUUGAGUCAAGGGCUUGGUUAUCUUGCUAUGAUCUUGAGGGAAUAAAAAAAGGAGUAAGAAUAAAAAUAAAUAAAGGGAUCAUAUUGAUCUUAUGGAAAGUAAUGACUUCACAUAUAAAGAGUAUGAUGAAUAAAAGUUGUUGAGAGUUGACAAACAUAGUUUUGGUCAUCGUUGCAAUUAAUAGGAAGUAAUAAAGAAAGAUAGGUUUUCACAUAUAAAUAUACUAUCAUGGACAUCUUUUAUGAUUGUGAGCACUCAUUAAAAUAUGACAUGCUAAACAGUUGAUGUUGGACAAGGAAGACAACGUAAUGCGUUAUGUUUCCUUACAUCCGAAAUAAAUUACAUUGUCAUGGAUCAUCCAACAUGUUGAGCUUGCCUUUCCCCCUCAUGCUAGCCAAAUUCUUUGCACAAAGUAGAGAUACUACUUGUGCUUCUAAAGAUCUUUAAACCCAGUUUUGCCAUGAGAGUCCACCAUAUCUACCUAUGGAUUGAGUAAGAUCCUUCAAGUAAGUUGUCGUUGUUGCAAGCAAUAAAAAUUGCUCUCUAAAUAUGCAUGAUCUAUUAGUGUGGAGAAAAUAAGCUUUAUACGAGCUUGUGAUAUGGAAGAAAUAAAAGCGACGAACUGCAUAAUAAAGGUCCCUAUCACAAGUGGCAAUAUAAAGUGACGUUCUUUUGCAUUAAGAUUUUGUGCAUCCAACCAUAAAAGCACAUGGCAACCUCUGCUUCCCUCUUUGAAGGGCCUAUAUUUUUUUGUCUUAUACCUUAUACAAUAGUCAUGGUGAUCUUCACCUUUCCUUUUUACACUUUAUCCUUUGGCAAGCACUAUGUGUUGGAAAGAUCCUGAUAUAUAUAUAUAUCCAAUCGGAUGUGGGUUUUCAUGAAGCAUUAUUGUUGACGUUACCCUUGAGGUAAAAGGUUGGGAGGCAAAACUAUAAGCCCCUAUCUUUCUCUGUGUCCGGUUAAAACUUCAUACCCAUAAGUAUUGCGUGAGUGUUAGUAAUUGUGAAAGACUAAAUGAUAGUUGAGUAUGUGGACUUGCUGAAAAUCUCUUACAUUGACUCUUUCUGAUGUUUCGAAAGAUUGCAAUUGCUUCAAUGACUGAGAUUAUAGCUUGCUAGUUUCUCAAUGAAGAUUCCGAUUCAUACUUUACAUUGUGAAUAGAUUGUUACUUCAGCAUAAGAAAUCAUAUGACAAUAUAUAUAUGUUGCUAUUCUAAGAAUGAUCAUGAUGCCCUCAUGUCCGUAUUUUAUUUUAUCGACACCUUUUUCUCUAAACAUGUGGACAUAUUUUUCGAUAUCGGCUUCCGCUUAAGGACAAGCGAGGUCUAAGCUUGGGGGAGUUGAUACGUCCAUUUUGCAUCAUGUUUUUAUAUCGAUAUUUAUUGCAUUAUGGGCUGUUAUUACACAUUAUGUCACAAUACUUAUGCCUUUUCUGUCUUAAUUUAUAAGGUUUACAUGAAGAGGGAGAAUGCCGGCAGCUGGAAUUCUGGGCUGGAAAAGGAGCAAAUAUUAGAGACAUAUUUUGUACAACUCCAAAAGUCCCGAAACUCCACGAAAGUCAGUUUUGUAAUAUAUUAAAAAUAUUGGGCGAAGAAAGCACCAGAGGGGGGCCACCCACCGUCCACGAAGGUGGAGGGCGCGCCCUACCCCCUGCGCUCGCCCCCUGCCUCGUGGGCCACUUGGCAGCCCCCCGAUACUGAUCUUCUGGUAUAAGGUGUGUUUUGCCCUAAAAAAAUAACAAGGAAGCUUUUGAGAUGAAACGCCGCCGUCUCGAGGUGGAACCUGGCGAAACCAAUCAACGCCUGCUUAUUCACAUAGACACGUAUGGUUAGGCUCCUGCGAAAAUUAUUUGAUCCUCUGUCCGGCUUUUCUUUUCGAACACCGGACGGAGUCUCAGGGGCUACUGUCUAUACUAUGACAUUAUUUUUGCAUAAUUACGUUGCCUACCUCAAAGCCAAUUAGAAGGCUGGUGCAGGCUUCGGUCAGUCUGCUCUUAGCGGACUGAACCCUCUCAACCAUCAUACCCAUGAGGAUACGGUGUUCCUCAACAAUGGAAGCACUUUGCAGGGCUUCCAGUAGAGUAUCCGGUGCCUCCGGAUGGUCAGAGGUCACCGGCGGAAUAGGUGCACCUCCUUCUUUAGAAGGAGGCUGCUUGCCUGAUUCCGGAGCCGUAUGGGCCCCCGGAAUAGUAUUCGGCUGGGGGCCGAAUUGGAUAUGGCCCCCAUCACCAGUCUCCAGGGGGAUUUGCUCCCCCAUGUGUCCGGCGGCAGAGUUAUCACCCUCUGGCGCCACCCUGACGACCUCCUGUACCUCUCCCUGGCCUGGGAAGGUCCUUCGGCAUAACACCUCGGCGUCGUUCGCGGCCUUGGGAGAGGAGGCCGCAGGAAGUGACCCGCUGUCCAUCACAUUUGGAUCCAGCGAAUCCCCAAAGAUGAGGAUCGCUGGGGGCGGGCGUGGGCCAGACUGCAGCGCAUGAUUCGACAUAUUAAAACCACGAAGUAAAGAAGUUGGAUAUAUGUGUGUAUAAGUGCCUUUGAGUAUUUACGAUUCGGCCAGGGGCUUCUCCCUGGGGUGCCACUAGCUUGACGGCGUUCAUCUUUGCCCAGGGGCUUCUCCCUGCUAUCAGUGUCCAACAUGGAGUUGUCCGCGAGGGAGACCCUUCCCUUCUUGGACGCCUCAGCCUCCAGAUUCGUGGAGGUCGCCCUUUUCUUCCUUCCCCCCUCAUUGGGAGAGUUGCUUUCCUCCUCCUGCUCCUCGUCCUCGGUGGCGGGGGAGGAGUGGGUUCAGCGUCUUCGGACGUCACGUCCGAAGUACCUUUACGGCGAAGGCCGCCUCUUCCCGCCUGGCCCUUCUUCUUAGCCUUCUUCUCCGACGCCUGUUUGGGCACCGGGACUAGCAUCUUCGUCAGAAGUGGGAUAGCUGGGUUUUCAGGCAGCGGAGCCGGACACUGGAUCUGCUCCGCCUUCUUUGUCCAGCCCUGAAAAGACAGAUAGGGAAGCUUAGACAUCUUCCUUGAAUGUACAGGUGAAGGAUGCACCUUGAAAUACGAAAAACUUACCGGACUGGUGGGAUGGGUCAGGUUGUACCCACGGUCCUAGGUCGUCUUCGGCCACGUCUCAUUGGCCCUAAAAAGCACCUGCCAGAUGCCUUUGUGUGUAGCACCGAAGAACUGUUGCAUGGUCUGGUGCUUGGCCGGAUCGAACUCCCACAAAUGGCAAGUCCGGCUUUGACAAGGAAGGAUCCGGCAAAAAAUCAUCACUUCGAUCAUGCUGACGAGCUUAAUGUUCUUGUCCACCAUGCUCUUGAUGCGCGUCUGCAGCGCUGUCAGCUCGUCCGACGAAGCCCAGUACAGGCCCUUCUCUAGCCAGGAGGUGAGCCGCAUCGGGGGUCCAGACUUAAAUUUGGGAGCCGCGGCCCAGGUGGUGUCACGGGGCUCUGUGACGUAGAACCACUACUGUUGCCUCCCUUUGACGGUCUCCAUGAAGGUACCUUUGGGCCAUGAGACAUUGGACGACUUUCUCACCAUAGCACCUCCGCACUCUGCGUGUUGACCACCCACCACCUUCGGCUUCACAUUAAAGAUCUUUAGCCACAAUCCGAAGUGGGGUGGGAUGUGGAGGAUGGCCUCGCACACGACAAUGAAUGCCAAAAUGUUGAGGAAAGAAUUUGGAGCUAGAUUGUGGAAAUCUAGCCCAUAGUAGAACAUGAGUCUGCGGACGAAGGGGUGGAGAGGAAACCCUAACCCACGGACAAAGUGGGGAAUGAACACCACCCUCUCAUGGGGCUCCGGGGUUGGGACGAUCUACCCCUUGGCCGGAAGCCGGUGGGCGAUUUCCUGGGCCAAGUACCCCGCCUCCCGGAGCUUCGUGAUGUCCUUCUCCGUGACGGAGGAGGCCAUCCACUUGCCCUGCGCUCCAGAUCCGUACAUGGACGGAGUGCUUUUUUUGAGGUGGAAAUGAUGGAAGCUUGGGUGCUGGAGCUUGAGAAUGGGUGGGCAGAGAGAAAGAAGGCAUGGGUGAAAGGGUGAAUCCUUAUCUCUUUAUGAAGGCAGCGAAUACCAAGCGCCUCCCCAUUCACCUUAAAACUCGCCUAUUCCCCAAGGGCCGUGCAGAUGGCGCGGUUGGAUUACCCACGCUCGUAUUAAUGAGAAUCCUGCAAUAAGGGGACACGAUCUCUGCUUCGACAAGACGUGCCAAUGAAAACCGCAUCUCGAAACAUGGAGCGGGAGGCUAAAAAACGGUUCGAAAUAAUGACCGGGCAGGGACGUAAUGUCUCGCUACAAAAGUUAUUAGUAGAUGGGACUCAUGAAAUAUUAUACUCUCUGCGGUUGUGUGUGGUACUUGUUUUGCAGAGCCGGACAUGUUUUCUGUGUUCGAGGGCUGCUUUGGAGUACUCGGAGGAGGAACCCGCCUUGCAAUGCUGAAGACAAUCUGCACGCCGGACACAUCGUCAUUGAAGCCUGGUUCAGGGGCUACUGAGGGAGUCCUGGAUUAAGGGGUCCUCGGGAGUCUGGGCUAUGUGACGUGGGCCGGACUGAUGGGCCAUGAAGAUACAAGACAGAAGACUUCCUCCCGUGUCCGGAUGGGACUCACCAUUGCAUGGAAGGUAGGCUUGGCGUUCGGAUAUGAAGAUUCCUUCCUCUGUAAACCGACUCUGUGCAACCCUAGGCCCCUCCGGUGUCUAUAUAAACCGGAGGGUUUAGUCCGUAGAGGCAAUCACAAUCAUACAGGCUAGACAUCUAGGGUUUAGCCAUUACGAUCUCGUGGUAGAUCAACUCUUGUAAUCCUCAUAUUCAUCAAGAUCAAUCAAGCAGGAAGUAGGGUAUUACCUCCAUCAAGAGGGCUCGAACCUAGUUAAACAUCGUGUCCCCUGUCUCCUAUUACCAUCGACCUUAGAUGCACAGUUCGCGACCCCCUACCCGAGAUCUACCGGUUUUGACACCGACACCUGCGCAAGUACAUACAAAGGUUUAGCCGUGUGCAGUACAACAUCCCAGAUGUUCACCCCGCCGCUAUCAUCAGUGCAUUCCAUCAGAAUGUGCGCAACCGCAAGAUGCGUGAAGAGCUGGCGACGAACAAGGUCAAGGAUGUAGCCGAGCUUUAUGUUCUGGCUGACAGAUGUGCUCGGGCUGAAGAAGGAAGGAAUUACCCCGGCGAAGAUGCUAGCGCGGAAACCGACUCCACAGAUGAAGACGCUGCCGCCCCAGCAAAGAAGGGCCGACACCGCAAUAGGAAGCGUAAGGGCAAGACCGUGCUUGCCGUUGAGGGAUUCGGCGACCCCGGCGCCGCCAAGAAGGCCAAGGCUGACGACCCCGACAAGGAAGUUGCCGGGUGUGCCGCUUGCCGGGCCUUGGCGGCUGCCGACAAGCCAGGAGGCUCCGACAAGCAGUAUUGCAAGAUCCAUCACACCAAGGGCCACGACCUCUAGAACUGCCGACAGGUUGAGCUCCUUGCAGAGAAAUAGAAAACCGAAUAUGAGAGGCGAGACAAGGAGAAGGGCUAGGAUGGAGCUGAGGGGUCCGCCAAGAAGCAUGGCGGCCAAGGAGGUUGCCGCGGCAAGGAUAAUCAACAAGAGAGGCCCGCUCGGGGCCGUGACAAGAAGGAGGAGGAUGAUGAUCAUGGUGAGGACGAUGAGUCCGGCGAGCACGAGUUCCAGAAAGCUACGGAGGCCAUGUGCGUCGACGGUGGCGCCUCGUUGCAUACCUCUCACCGCCAGCUGAAGCAGUGGGCGCGUGAGGUCACUGCGGCAGAGCGAUCAUUUGAUGCCCAGAAGCCACUGAAGUGGUCCAGCACACCUAUCAUAUUUGACACCGGGGAUCACCCUGAUCGCACAACUGCGGUCAGGUGUUUGCCGUUGUUGGUUUAACCAACAAUACGCAACCACAAGGUGACAAAGGUGCUAGUUGAUGGUGGGGCUGGUUUGAACUUGAUCUCGCCUGAUGUGAUCGAGAGACUGCAAAUCCCCGAUGGAGAUCUCGAGGAGACAGGCACGUUUCAAGGAGUCAACCCAGGGAGGAGUCAGCCGAAGGGUAAAAUCAUGUUGCCCGUUACAUUUGGGGGCGAGCUGAACUACAGGACGGAGAAGAUCAUUUUUGAUGUCGCCAAGAUCCCCCUGCCCUACAAUGGGAUCCUUGGCCGCCCAGCGCUGGCUAAGUUCAUGGCGGCAUCACAUUACGCCUACAACAUGUUGAAGAUGCCCAGGCCACUGAGCAUCAUCACCGUCCCCUCCGACAAGAAAGACGCACUCAUCUGAGCUGAGCAACUCUACCGGGAGGCAGUUGCCGCAACUGCCGCCAAGGCACUUGCUCCUGCCACUGUAGCCCCAGGGGGGGGAGAAGACUGGCAAGACCUCUUCCAACAAGACCUCCUGCACCAACUCCGACGAGUGCCCCUCUUCGGAGUGCAGCGCUCCCGUCGAGGACAUGCUAGAGAGCUCCACCGCUAAGAGAAAGAAAUCCAAGGCAGCACCACCAGAGACCAAGAAGUUGCCCGUCAAGGAGGACUGCACGGGCGGGGCUUUUACUAUAAGCUCCACCCUUGACAGCAAAUAGGAAAGUGCGCUCGUCGCCUUCCUGCGGGCAAAUGUCGAUACGUUUGCAUGGCAAGCAUCCGACAUCCCCGGCGUUCCCAGGAAGAUGAUUGAGCACCAUCUUCCUAUCUGUCCUCAUGCACGGCCUGUCAAGCAGAAGGUCAGGAAGCAAGCUUUGGAGCGGCAAGAGUUUAUCAUCAAAGAGAUCAGGAUGUUAGAGGCGGCAGGCUUGGUUAGAGGAGUGCUCCACCCCACGUGGUUGGCCAAUCCAGUGGUAGUGCGUAAGGCAAAUGGGAAGUGGAGGCUAUGUAUUGAUCACACAGAUAUCAAUAAGGCCUAUCUAAAGGAUCCUUUCCCUUUGCCACACAUAGACCAGAUUGUGGACUCCACUACCGGGUGUGACCUGCUGUCAUUCCUCGACGCCUAUUAAGGAUACCAUCAGAUCUUCAUGAUGAAGGUAGACAAAGAAAAGACCGCGUUCAUCACCCCGUGUGGUACAUACUGUUUUGUAUGAAUGCCCUUCGGGUUGAAAAGCGCUGGUUCGACGUUUGCCCGAGCGGUCCAAAUUGGUUUAGCCCCAGCUGCAUAGACAUAUGGAAGCUUACAUGGAUGAUAUAGUGGUCAAAACCAAGGACAGGGCUACGCUCAUGCAGGAUCUGGAAGAAACAUUUGCGAAUCUGCACAAGAUCGACCUCAAGCUCAACCCACAGAAGUGCGUGAUCGGUGUCCCGUCCGGCAAACUUCUUGGAUUCUUUGUGUCUCAAUGCGGGAUUGAAGCGAAUCCCGACAAGAUCAAAGCGAUUGAGCAGAUUGAGGCAUCGAGAUGGGUCAAAGACGUCCGUAGGCUCGCCGGCUGCGUUGUUGCUCUAAGUAGGUUCAUCUCCAAAUCUGCUGAGUGUGCCCUCCCCUUUUUCAAAGUUUUGAAAAAGGCUGGUCCAGUGAAAUGGACUCUGGAGGCAGAGGCAGCGCUAUAGGAUUUGAAGAAGUACCUCUCCUCCAUGCCAAUACUAGUCGCACCUAAACCACAAGAGUCGUUGCUACUGUAUCUAGCGGCGACGAAUCAAGUGGUUAGUGUUGCGCUAGUAGCAUACAAGGAACUUGAGGAGGAAGCAGCAGCGGCAGCGGAGCCGUCAGAUGGUGGGCCGGGGCUCUCCCCGACAGGGCUUGACGCCGGUGAGGCGGAACUCCCGGUCCCGGCAAGACAGAAUCUACGCGGAUGGGAGAAUUUGAACAGAAGAAGAAGGUGGUGCAGCACCCGGUUUAUUUUGUCAUUUCCCUCUUGCAGGGGGCCAGAUCAAGGUAUUCAGGGAUGCAGAAGCUACUUUUCAGCCUUCUUAUGGCCUCGAGAAAGCUGCGUCACUAUUUCCAAGCACAUGAGAUCACCGUCGUCACCCGCCUCCCUCUGCAGCGAAUCUUGCACAACCCGGAUGUGACUGGGAUGAUUGUGGAAUGGGCAUUGGAAAUGUCGAGCUUCGGCCUCAAGUUUGAAAGUACUUCAACAGUCAAGAGCCGAGCCUUGGCGGAGUUCAUAGCAGAAUGGACCUCAACGCCCGACGAGGAAAUUCAACAGACCACCUUUCCCGGCAAGGAGACGGGCCGUGAUCGGAUCAUGUACUUCAUUGGGGCUUUCUCGCUACAAGGUGCAGGUGCCGGCGUGCUAGUCAUUGCACCCAGUGGAGAGCACCUCAAGUACGUGGUCCAGAUGCACCUUCCCCGGCAAAAAUCAACAAACAACAUGGCAAUGUAUGAGGGAUUGCUUGCCGGUCUCAGGAUCGCGGCAGACCUCGGAAUCAGGAAGCUCAUCAUCAGAGGUGAUUCGCAGCUCGUCGUCAAGCAAGUUAACAAGGAUUACCAGAGCCCGUUGCUGGAAACCUAUGUGGAUGGGGUGAGGAAGUUGGAGGAGCAUUUUGACGGUCUACAAGCGGAGCAUGUUCCCCGAGCAGAGAACAACAUUGCCGACGACUUGUCAAAACGCGCUGCCCUCAAGUUGCCUGUGGAACCAGGUACAUUUGUGCUUCAACUAACCCAGCCAUCCGUUGAGUCAUUAGCAGGGCAGAACAAGCGAAGGCAAGCAGGCCCCGACAAGUUCUUCUCCGCUGAGCUCCCAGGAGCUGCCGACAAGGACGUUGCCAGGUGCCCCAAGCUUGCCGAGGGGCAGCAACCUCCGGCAGGACCCCAAGUCCUCGCCAUAGAGGCAGCUGCCCCCACGGCCGAAGAUGAGCCUUUAGUCCUUGUCGUCGAGCCUUAGGCUCCAGCAUGGGCGCAGCACACCGUCCGUUUUCUCCAAACAGGGGAACUCCCUGAGGAACAGGAAGAACCAGAGAAAGUGGCCCGUUGAUCCAGCAUGUACCAGUUUGUGGAUGAUGCCCUAUACAGAAGGAGACCGAACGACAUGAAAUUCAAGGGCAUUCCUCGGGAGGACGGACUGGAGCUAUUGGCAGAGAUACAUGGAGGCAUGUGAGGCUCCCACAUAGGGUCAAGAGCCCUUGCCGGCAAAGCAUUCCGGCAAGGUUUCUUCUGGCCCACCGCUCUCCAGGAUGCAACCUCACUAGUAACCAAGUGUGAAGCGUGCCAGUUCCAUUCAAAGAAGCUUCAUCAGCCAGCCCAAGCUCUCCAGACAAUCCCUCUUUCCUGGCCAUUUUCGGUCUGGGGGCUCGACAUACUGGGCCCUUUUCCCCGCGUUGUUGGGGGCUUUGAGUACUUGUACGUCGCGAUCGACAAGUUCACAAAGUGGCCGGAAGUGGAGCCGGUGAGAAAGGUGACAACACAGUCGGCCGUCAAGUUCUUCAAGGGGCUAGUCUGCCGUUUUGGCGUGCCCAAUAGGGUCAUCACCGAUGACGGCACGCAGUUCACGAGCCGCACCUUCAUGCAAUACAUCCAAGACCUCGGUGGCAAUGUUUGUCUUGCUUCUGUUUCUCAUCCUAGAAGUAACAGCCAGGCUGAGAGAGCAAAUGCAGAAGUGUUGCGUGGCCUCAAGACCAGCACUUUUGACAAGCUACACAAGUGCGGAAAGUGCUGGAUUGACGAGUUGCCGACGCUUCUUUGGUCGAUCAGAACGACGCCAAAUCGAGCCACCGGCCAGACACCCUUUGCCCUGGUAUACGGGGCAGAAGCAGUUCUCCCCAUGGAACUCAUAUACGGGUCACCUCGAGUGCUUGCUUAUGAAGAGCUUGAGCAAGAGCAGUUGCGCCAAGAUGAUGCGACGCUCCUUGAGGAAGAUCGUCUUUGGGCUGCUGUGCGGGCCGCUCGCUACCAGCAAGCCUUGCACCACCACCAUAGCCGCAAGGUUCAUACCCGAAGCCUUGAGGAAGGCGACCUUGUUCUUUGGCGAGUUCAAUCCGCCAAGAAUUCCAACAAGUUUACGCCAAAGUGGGAAGGCCCUUAUCGGGUAAUACGAGUCACCAGGCCCGGCGCAGUCCGCCUGGAGACCGAAGAUGGGAUUCCAGUGAGCAACUCCUGUAACAUCGAAUAUCUUCGCAAGUUUUACCCAUAAGGCGCGGUUGCCGGACCUCCCGGCAUACCACUUUUUUGUACAAGCCUUGGCGGCAAGGCAUGUCACCCCUUUGUACAAAGCCAGGCGCAGACCGUGAGCAUCAAAUAAAUAAAUGAAGCGCUGGCACCCUAGAAUUUAGCAUGCACACUAGGUUGAGUCUCUCUCUCUGUUUGGGUUGAUAGUGCUUGGCGGCAACUAACCCCUAGCAUAGAGGUCAAGUCAUGUCUUUCUGUCUCUUCCAGUCUGUUCUUGGUUCGCAGGCUGCACAGGCGUUCUGCAGAGCCAUUUGGAGGAAAGAAGGCGGAUUGACACCCCCGACCCUGGCAAGCCAAGGUUGCUGGGGGGCUGCAAAUUCAGAUAAGUUUUCUCUCCCACGCUAUGCGUUUCCGUAUGAAACUUGAACGUACGAAACUUUGCCCACUCCUAUACCACCGUGCUUCCUCUUUCCUAUGCCUGAAAUCCCUUUCAGGCCGGAAUGUGGUUGUAGUUGCAGUGGAAGGGAAACAAGCGAAGGGCCCGAUCCUACUUUACCCCUACUCCCGCCAAGGGCAUGGGUAUGGUCAUGGUAUAAAGCGGAGGGACCGCAAGGUAUGUUGCCGGGCGACGUUGUUUGUUUGAAAUAAUAAGGACUCGCUCCUUAGUGUGGGCCUCGCUCACGCACAAAAGAACCCGGCCAGCAUAGAACCUUUUUCAUCAAUACGUUGAUUAAACAAGUACAAUUCAUAUAGAAUAUAAACAUGAGCAAGGGGUUACAAGGUCUAAAUUCGACAAGUGCCCGCAGGCUUAAAGAUCUAAAAAAGAUAAGAUGCCCGUAAUCCCUUUCUUGUCUCCCUCCUCAGGAAGCGGAUCAGGAUAAACUAGAGGGCAAAAGGAGUGCGUAGGAGAGGUACGAGCAGCAGAAGACACCAAGAGAGCAUCCCGGCGGCCGCCCAGGAGAGGGUUGGUGAUGACGGUGCCGGGGAAGAAGUCGAAAGAUGAGGCAGCGGGCCAGCAAUACACGACGAAGGCAUCGAUGCCAUCGUACUCCGACUUGAUGGCCCGCCACCCGCCUUCUUCGUCUUCUCCGGCCUUCCAGCGCCGGCCGCCAGAAGUGACGGCCCCGAGAAGUUCAAGGAGCUGGCUCGAGGAGCCACCGCCAAGAACUGCCCCCCCCGGCAAGUCGUCCUGCCGGCAGAAGGCCAGGUGCAGAUGGUGCUGCUGCUAGCGCCACCUAGGGACGGGGUGUCCGUCAUCUAGUCGGACUAGUCCCCGUCGUCCUCCCCACUGGUCCCCUCCUCAUUGCCAUCGCUAGAGGAGGAGCUCUUGUCGUCGGUCGAGCUCUCCGCAAAGCACCCUAACCUGUGUCCCGAGCGCCCGAAGACCUUGACGGAGAGCAGGUCGCUCUUCACUAAUUUCAAGAGGAGAACGUGCCCCUUCAUCAAGUAGUGGGCGCGUGCGAAGGUUUGCCAACCCCGACAAAGGAGCAUCACAUGAGAGAUGCGGAACCUUGUGUUCACCCACAUGUCGCCGUUGCAACACCCGUUCAUGUGGAGCCUCAACCUCGGUGGCUAGUCGAUCUCCAGCACCCUCGCGAACGCCUCGGGAAGGCGAAGGCGGCUACACGGCGGCUCGCGUAGCUGCAGGAUGAACUCCAGCUCUGUGUCCCCGACAUGGCCGCUCGACGAAGCAGAAGGAGACGGUGGCGGAGAUGGUGACGGAGAUGGCGAUGACGCGGAUGUCCCCCUUCCGCGCCCGCCUCUGCCUCGACCGCCUCCCCGACCGCGGCCCCGUCCAACACCUCCACCCCGAGCGUGGCCUUCGCCUUGGGCGGCUGGCUCUUGCUUGACCGCCGUGGCUCUCUGGCGGAAGGAGGACCUGGUCGCCUCCGUGGAAGAACGGCCGCGACCACGCCCUCUCGCCAUGGCAGUGGAUGGAGAAUGGAGACGAAGGGAAGACACGAGAAGAUGCCUCUCCUCCUCCUCCCGAGUCCCCUUUUUAUAGCCGAGCGGGGAAGGCUAAAGACUGGCCCUACGCCUUCGAGGAGCCCGUUCAAGUCUGGCUCAUUAAGUUGGUGACGAGCGAGGUCAUCGAGCGCCCUCCCCGCCCAAUCAAAGGCGCAUGAUUAUCGGCCAUAGCGCGCCUUCCCAUAUCCCGUGCGUCUUUCUCCUACCCUACGCCGUGCAUGCGGCGUACGUGGCGAAAGGGGCAGGUGUAGUGGGAAACAUGGAACAACGGUUCCAAGGCGGGGAGAGUAAAUGAGCAGUGGCCCUGCAGUUUUCCUUUUGUUAUAGGGAAGACGCGACCUCUUUACUGUCAACCGCGGGAUGACGCAAGCAUGUUGCGGUCAUUCCACGCACAACGCCCACAUCACGCACUCAACGAGGGUCGUGGGGAAGCGCAACUGGCGAAGGAGUUACCGCAGUCAAAACUCUGCCACACACGCCCGCGCACCGUUCUGGGCCUGGCCCAACAACGCUCGCCCAGGCCCAGGGGCUCCUGUCGGUGUACAAAAGUAGGGUCCUUUUGUACCCAUUUACUUGUGCGCGGGCAGUUGUAGCCACACCUGCGGCCAUCCUUGGCGGGGCAGAGGAAGCAGAGAUACAAGACUACCAGGGCAGCGCCCAAGCCAGAGGCGAGAGGAGCAAAGGGACAAGAUGGGUUUUUCCCAGCACGAACCUUGCCGGGGCGGCUACACAGCCCCGGCAAGAGCCUUGCCGCGGCGACUUGCCCAACACCAGCAAGGCCGCCACCCUGGAGCCUGAGAGUUCCGACACCAUCGACAACAUUGGAACCAAGGAUCGGGAGGCGCCUGCAUGGUGGCAUGCAGAUCUUUGUGAAAACCAAAGGCCUGCAAGACUAGAUGAGAACCAGAAGACGAAGGCCCCUGGCAAGAUCCUUGCUGGGGACGACCACAAGACCCCGGCAAGACCCUUGCCAGGGGCAUCUGCAGGGCUGCAGCCAGGCCAACACCUACCAAGGCUCGGCCGCCCCCUGGCCACUCCAACAUGACAAGCGCCUGCAUGGCAGCGUGCAGCUUCCAGGCCAACUAGGCACACACCUACGUGGUAGCAAGCCACCUCUAGGCCAACCAGCCCAGCACAUGCGUGGUGGCAUGCAAAUCUUCGUGAAGACCCUGCCACCACACCAGCUCAGCAGCCUGCCAGCUAGCGUGGCGCUGCAUGCUUCGUCAGCUUGGACGCGCGCUGGAGCAAGGCGAGGCGGCGACGGACGGGAGGAGCUUCUUUGACGUCCCCGAUAAAGCAAGAGGACACGUCGGCGACGCAUUAAACGCGUUUUGUCCCAUGAUGUCAGAGCUAGUCUUGUACACACUACAUACUUUCCACCUCCUGUGUGCCACUGUGGCGACCCCUUUGACGUAUAAAAGGAGGCCCGAGGCGUACUGAGGGAGGAUUCGGACUUUUUGGGCUAGGCAUGCACCGCAGCUAGUUCAAGAGCUCAAAAACACCAAAUAUACACCAAAGCAGGACUAGGGUAUUACGCAUCGUUUGCGGCCCGAACCUGGAUAAAAUUCCCCCGUGUUGAUCUUCUAAACCCGCUCUUUCCACAGCCCCGCGCCCUGUCAACCAUAGUAGGGAUUCCCUGUGAUCCCAUAGGUGUCGUUCUUGAAUCCCGACACGGUAAUUGUUGCCAAACGUGUGCCAUGGAGUCUAGCAUGGCAGAUGGGUUACGCAGAAAACUCGUGUGCGAUGGGGCACAAAUCGCACACAGUUCAUAUGUUGGCCCGUGUGCCUUACAUACUGUUUCCCAAACGGUUCGUUGCGACAGACCGUAUGGUUUCACUGCGUCAUUAGAAACCCUUAAUCACUGAUACCACAUGUGCGAAAGAAUUUAGGGUGUGCUGCAUCUCACACGAUUAUAGUUUGGAAGGCCUCUGGAUCACUGCUCCAUAUCCCCGACGGUUUUUGGGUCGUGUGGGAAGGACACCCUAUCGCACACACUCACUUGGCGAUGGUCCCAAAUGCCGUCGCGGAAAGGGGUUAAAAACCAUUUGUAUAGGACCGACGCGUACCAGUGCGUGUCUUAUUGUUAAUCCUGUCAAGUAUGCCGUGCUUGAAGGUGUAAACACAAAUUUCCCUCUGACUAUGAGUUCUUCAACUGAACCAUAUGAGAGAAAUGAUGUAUAUAUAGAGUAAACCAUAUAUAUAGCAGUCAGUCAGUUAGCUCAUAGAUAGCAUGAAGUUCUGACUUAUAAUUCAAGCAGUUCAGAUCAUGAAAGUACUUAUUACAAAUCACAUCAAAACAUGAAGCGUUCAAUAUGCACAAGUACUUAUUACAAUCAACCUCGAAACCUUAACCAAUCAUGGCAAACGUGAUUCUAGCCAUAUGAUCCUCGAGUUCAAAAAGUUGAGGAUGACAACUUGCUCAGACUUCAGGCCACUAUCAAUGACAAAUUCCUUCCAGCCUUUCUGAAGAUACAGCCGUCCAUCAAUGCCUACACGGUACUUGGCUGGUUUUAGGUGUCCAUUGCUAAGAAAAACUUGGAGAAUGCCCUUCUUCUUGAGCCGGAGAUACCUAACAACUCGUCGGGGGCUUUUAUGCAAAAAGUAAUAAAACUAUUUGAGGACGAUACUAGCAGUACAAUUCUCAUACUGUGCACAGAGCAGUAAAAACCUGCACACAGUACAAACACGAGCAGGAUGAAUUACACAACAGUCCAACAAGAAAUGCAGAUAAAACAAAAUAUAGUAUGCAAUAUGGAACUUGCAAAUAUGCAGUAUGCUUCUAACUAGCAUGCAUUUCUUGAGACUAGCUGCAUGUAGUACACACCGUACAAGCGUGGAAAAUUGUGAAAACUAUUAGUGCUCAUCUAAUAUCUAAGAAGUUCACAUAUUGUACACUUCAAUAAAACAAAAUAAGUGCGUCCCUAAAAUACUAAAAGUUUAGACUAGUAUGGAAUUAUACAACAAAAUAGGAAACACAAAGAAUAAAUCAGAUCAAGCGAAAAAUACCAUCUUCUAGUGAGUCUCCACGUCUGUUGGUGUAAGUUGAUGGACAAAAGGACUUGUGCGGCCAAGGCCACGGGGAAGCAGGGCGGAAUAGAAUGCGACAACAUUGAUGUGGCCCAUAUCCAAUCCUUCCGUGAAUACCGUGCCCUAUGCAAGCUGCUCCGCUCGCCCUGAUUGGCACAAGACCUUACCCCUGCGGAGAGCACGACAAGCCUGCGAGCAAGCUGAGCAAUCGCAGUGCAUCGGCCACAACCAUGGCCGCAGCAGGAGAGAUUCGCGCAGGGCCCUAGAGCCAUCGCAAAAAACCUAGAAAAUGGAAAGAAAUAAAGAGAGGCUGGAGAAAGGAGAGAAGUCGCGGAUAGAGGAGAAAUGAACUACAUAGGAAGGUUAGAAGUUAGCCUACCUUUAUAGAAGACGAAUGCAAAAAGGCCAAAAGUGAAAAUUAAACGAGAGUUAAUGAAACUUAUGUUACCAAGAUUGAAGGACAAUCAAUGAAGGCUUAUGUUACCAACGAAAAAAGACCAAAAACAAAGGUGUACUUUGACUGCAGCACUUCCAACACAAUAACCGCAGAUCAUUAAAAUAUUUAAAUUUCUAAAAAAUAUAAUCCGCAGACCAUUCUAAAAUAAAAGUGAAUGCAGUUCUUUAAAGUAAUACCGGGCAGUUCACAAUACGUGUGCAUGAAGUGCAGUACAUGCUCAAAAUGAAGCACAAGAGAAGCACUUCCGUGCGGUGUACAAUGGGUUGACUUGGUGCACGUAAUGCAGUCCAUAAACGCAAGUCAUGCAGUCCACAAUGUUGGUACAAGCAGUCACAAUGUUGGCACAAAAAGGGAUGCACGCAGUGCAAAAUGUGUACGCCUGCAGCACAGUACACUGACAAAUGCAGUGCACACAGACCCAACAAAGCAGUUCACACACGUACACUAGAAAAAAGAAUACAUAAGAGCAAAACACGAAAAGAAAAUGUGACUUGUAUAUGUAGUGCGGAAUAUGUGAAUAUGCAGUACAGAGACAUGAUCAAUGCAGUGCAUGCCCCUACAUUUGAAAAAUACCUAAGAGGGGAAAUAUUAAACAAAAUUGACCACCCAGGUGCAAAUAGGCCCCAGCCAGUCUCGUAAUAGAACUGCGCCCUCAGUAGGUGAGUCGUUCUGAGCCACGAUGCAUGGGGCCGGGCACACAUGGGACCACAUGUCUGAGAGGAUAGAGCAGCGAGCGCCGUGUAUAAGCGCCCAAAUAAGUAACCAGAGGAGUUCGACACGGGUGCCUCGCCAGCGCUUAUAAACUGGUCGAGCGCCCUCUCCACGGGCGAGGUGGGACUAUACGAUACCGCUCACACAUAGCGCACUGGGAACCAACCGUGCUGACAGGCUUACUUGGGCCGAAUGCGUUUUCACUCCUCUAACACAGGACCAACACGCUAGAGUGGUUAAAAUACACAGGCCCAACACGACCCACUAGAAAAACAAUAAUUACAAAAAUAAAACAUCAAAGAAAAAUGAGAAACAUUUUUAAAUGAAUAAAAACCACAAAAAAGGUGUGGGCACUGCCAGAAACUAUAGUUCGCUCUAAUAAAUAAAAUGCAGCAAGCCCGAAGUCAACGUACAAAUGUAGUCCGCCACGUACAACAAUGCAGUUCGUCACGUGGAAGCACGAAGUAUUGUUAUUUCUGAAAUGCAGUUCUCUUUCUACUGCAUUGCAGUAGGGCUAAAAUGAAGAAUGCAACCCUGUUAGUUAAGCAAAGCAGUCCAAUACCCCUAUCCACACUACCCUCCAUCCACACAAAAGCUACAUCACCAUCAAAUAUAAAAAAAGAGAAAAUAAGAAAGAACUCCAUCAAAAAAGUAAAUGUGCGUACAUCUGUAUGAAUCCUGAUCCGAUAUAAUACAGUAUACGAAGAAUAAAUUUCAAUUGCAUGCAGUACACUAUGUGGACAUAGGCAUCUGUCGUGAUAGCGAAGAAGUGCACUUACUUGAAAAAAUCACCAAAAACACAAUCAUCAGAUUUUCUGACAGUUGCAUGCAUACCUGAACUUGCCACGUAAAAAGAGGCGACAGCGUUCUGGAUUUCCAACGCACUAAGACAGCCUCCUCAUAGCAGAACCUCUCUGCAGUUGGCAUGCAACUAAAAACAUAGCCCCACCACGCUACCACCCCACUCCACCGAUCCCAGGUCCUGUCACAGAGUGCAGAGGAGAAAACACAACUGCUUUGUCCCCCCAAAAAACCCAUUGCAUCUUCUUCUCCACACUUCCUUUCACUAACCUCUCUCUCAGAACAAACACGAGAGAGCAGAGGAGAGUCAUGGCGGAUGCACCUCUGUACAAGCAGCGCCGCAGGUACACCAGGGAGCUCCACGACGUCGACCUCCACGGCAACCACAAGCUCCACGUCGUUUGCACAAGCAAGGGUCAAGACAUGGAAAAGAUGCUGUCCACUCUCAGGAGGAAGCUCGGCGGAAUGCCCUUCAAACUAGUCAGCUUUGAUGUCGAGUACACGCACUACGUGAAGCCACAGCGGGCAAUAGUGUUCCAGUUAUGCGCAGAAAAAGAAUGCCUUGUCUACCACAUCUCUAUAGCUAAAGAUAGGUCAGAAUAAUUAUCAAUCUGUACUAUUGCUUGUCAAUAUUGAUUUUAAAUUUUCUUCAUCGCAAGUGCCAUUAUUUAAACUUUGGUUCUCAUUUUUACAAAGCAUGGCAUAGUAAUUCAUUGAUAGUUUUCAUCUGGCUCCAUGUAACUCAUGUGUUCAAUUCUUGAAUUAGAUGAUCUAGCAAUACAACAGUUUUAUUUUGUUUUGCCAAAUACAAAUUAUUUGUCUGAACAAUAGAUAAAUGCACCAUUACUAUCUAAAACAUGUAUGAAAUUCAAUUCAAGAAUACAAACAUGCACAAACAUGCAUUGUUUAUGGAAUCUAUUAUGAGAUUUACUAGUUAUGUUGUACAAAGUACUAGCAGCUAUUGGCAGCAACAGAUUCAGAUAUUCAAAUUGCACUUCAAUUUCAGAAAAAACAAAAAAACAUUGGUGGUUCUAAAAAAUAAACAAUAUUCAGUCUAUACAAACAUCUUGCAGGCCAAUGGAACUAGACAAAUUCCUCAUGAAUUAUGAAUACACCUUCGUGGGAUUCGCCAUUUAAGGAGACAAAAACAAGCUGAAGCUAUCUGGCUUGGAGAUCAACUCCGACAACUACAUUGAUAUUUAGGUGAAAUGGAGAGACCCAUACAGUAGAAAGAAGUUUGACUCUUUUGCUGAUGUUGUCAGUAGGAUGAUAGACAUUCAAUACCAUGAUAUGAAGAAAAAAUUAACCGCAAGGAGGACCAUACUCUGUGGGGAUUUUGCCCACUGCCAGACAAGCUUAUCAAAUAUGCAACAAUAGAUGCAUUCGCAACAUAUGAGUCAUGGAGAAUCAUCUACGAUAUCAUAAUGGGACUGGACAGGCCAAAAAGAGAAAAAGAAGCGAAGAAGAAGAACAAGGCUGUAAUCCAAUACAGCACCUAGAAAUGAACAGGGCUAUGUUUAGUUUCCUUUUACUUUAGUGGUUGUGUUGUUCCUUGUUUCAUGUCUGCAAGGUUUUGAUUAUGUCCGUUGCUUCAUAUCGAACGUUUGUUUGUAAAAACAAUGUUGUUGCACUAGGUAAUGAUUGCUGAGUUUGUAUUAGAACAAGUAUCUAGAUAACUUUGAAAAAUAUAAUGUGUGAUACCAAAACAUACUACACAGAUACAAAACAUAUUCAAAAACAACGUUAAACAAAAAAAAUCAAGUACUCUGACUACAACUCAUACCUAAAAAAGAAAGAUGAAUGCAGUUCACAAUGGUAAACAUAAGAAGUACACAUGUGUCCACAUGCAGUCCAUAAGAGUAACUAUAGAAAAAGACCAUUAAUAUUAAUAUUUCUAAAAAAUAUAAUCCGCAGACCAUUCUAAACAAAGGUGAAUGCAGUUCAUGGAAGAAAUAUAAGGCGGUUCACAAAGUGUAUACAUGAAGUGCAGUACAUGCUUAAAUGAAGAACGAGAGGGGCUACAGCCACUUUCGUGCAGUCCAUAACACACAGACUUGGUACACGCAGUGCAGUCCGCAACGUUGGUACAAGCAGUACAAAUGACAUCAUUGUACUACCAUGAAAUAUAUGUACUAAAAAAGAAAAAGAUGCCUCAAAUACGGAAAAAAAUUGACCACCCAGGUGCAACCAGGCCCCAGCUUGUCUCGUAAUAAGUCUGCGCCCACAGUAGGCGAGUCGUUCUGAGCCACGAUGCAUGCGGCCGAGCACACAUGCGCCCACAGGUCAGAGAGAUAAGUUCAGCGAGCGCCGUGUAUAAGCGCCCAAAAAAGUAACCACAGGAGUUCGAUAAGGCUGCCUCGCUAGCGCUUAUAAACAGGUCAAGCGCGCUCUCCGCGGGCGAGGUGGGACUAAAGGAUACCGCUCACACACAGCGUAGGAGAAAACACCCAUACAGGACGACUUGGGCCGAAUGCGUCUUACACCCCAACGGACCCAACAAAUUCUCACAGCCAAAAACAAAAAGCCCCACGAUGCACAACUAGCACGCAACUCCCGUACCCUCCCACCUAAUAAAAUGCAGUCCACUGUGCAGUUCGGUAUGGGAUGGAAGAUGUGCUGUCAAUUAAGCAUUGCAGUUCGCUUAGACGAUUGUUUUUUCAGCCAAUCAAGAACACUACCACGGCUAGCCCGCGUCCAACCGCCUCCUCCACUUGGCAAAUCUUUUCUCUUGGCUACCACGGCACAAUCCCCCGUCACACCCUGGCUUGGUUGACAGGCGCACGAGGUGUGGGGGCGGCAGGGUGUGACGGACUCGCCUACGCAUGUGGCACCACGGCACGCCGCGUCACGGCCUGCUCCCUCGUCCAGGCUCGGACUCGCAGGGGGGUGGGGAGAGGGGUCACGACCCCCCUCCCACCUCCUGCCCGGCCUCGCGCUAACGCAUGCAGUGCACUUGGUUGACAGGUGCAAUGCGGACAUUCUGUUUUUCCAACCCUAGGACGCACGCAACCCCAGAGCCACACCCCUAAGAUAGACAAGGGCAACGGGGUGUGAUGGACUCGCCUACGCAUGCCGCAGCGCCGCCUGCUCCAGCUCGUUCUAGGCUCGGCCUCGCACGGGGGNNNNNNNNNNNNNNNNNNNNNNNNNNNNNNNNNNNNNNNNNNNNNNNNNNNNNNNNNNNNNNNNNNNNNNNNNNNNNNNNNNNNNNNNNNNNNNNNNNNNNNNNNNNNNNNNNNNNNNNNNNNNNNNNNNNNNNNNNNNNNNNNNNNNNNNNNNNNNNNNNNNNNNNNNNNNNNNNNNNNNNNNNNNNNNNNNNNNNNNNNNNNNNNNNNNNNNNNNNNNNNNNNNNNNNNNNNNNNNNNNNNNNNNNNNNNNNNNNNNNNNNNNNNNNNNNNNNNNNNNNNNNNNNNNNNNNNNNNNNNNNNNNNNNNNNNNNNNNNNNNNNNNNNNNNNNNNNNNNNNNNNNNNNNNNNNNNNNNNNNNNNNNNNNNNNNNNNNNNNNNNNNNNNNNNNNNNNNNNNNNNNNNNNNNNNNNNNNNNNNNNNNNNNNNNNNNNNNNNNNNNNNNNNNNNNNNNNNNNNNNNNNNNNNNNNNNNNNNNNNNNNNNNNNNNNNNNNNNNNNNNNNNNNNNNNNNNNNNNNNNNNNNNNNNNNNNNNNNNNNNNNNNNNNNNNNNNNNNNNNNNNNNNNNNNNNNNNNNNNNNNNNNNNNNNNNNNNNNNNNNNNNNNNNNNNNNNNNNNNNNNNNNNNNNNNNNNNNNNNNNNNNNNNNNNNNNNNNNNNNNNNNNNNNNNNNNNNNNNNNNNNNNNNNNNNNNNNNNNNNNNNNNNNNNNNNNNNNNNNNNNNNNNNNNNNNNNNNNNNNNNNNNNNNNNNNNNNNNNNNNNNNNNNNNNNNNNNNNNNNNNNNNNNNNNNNNNNNNNNNNNNNNNNNNNNNNNNNNNNNNNNNNNNNNNNNNNNNNNNNNNNNNNNNNNNNNNNNNNNNNNNNNNNNNNNNNNNNNNNNNNNNNNNNNNNNNNGCCUCGUGCUAAUGCAUGCAGUGCAUUUGGUUGACUGGCGCAGUGCAGACAUUCUAUUUUUCCAACCCUAGGACGCACGCAACCCCAGAGCCACACCCCUAAGAUAGGCAGGGAGGCGAUGUGAUAGGGGAUGCAUCACGUACAAGCAAAAAAAUCAAAUGUAGGCCGCAACUCUAUAUAAUGAAGUGCAUUUGUUUAGACAAAAGCAGUGUAGUAUCAUAAACAACGCAGUUUUGGAAUACAUACACAAAUACAGGGGCUGCAGCAAGUACAGGGAAUACAGGCGCUGUACAAACCUAUAGACAAAUAAACUAUCGUACACGCAAAAAAACAAAUGCAGGAUGCAACUCUAUACAAUGAAGUGCAUUUGGUUAAAAAAAGCAGUGCAGUAUCAUAAGCAAUGCAGUUUCGGAAUACAUACAUGAAUACAUGGGCUGCAGCAAGUACAGCAAAAAUACAGGUGUUGUACAAACCUGUGGACAAAUGCAGUGCUUUUUGUUAGACGAAGAAGUUCGGCAUCACAUGCAAUGCAGUUUCUGGGACACGUACGAUACAUAUAAGUGUGAACAAUGCCAGUUCGCACAAAACAUGGUGGCAACAAAUAAAAAUAUAUAUAUUGUAUGAGUUAUUUAUAUAAAAUAAAAUAGACACACAAAUUCGUCCUUAUACGCUGCUGCAAAAAGCAGACGAAACACAAGAAAACAGAAAAAAUAGUCUUUUCAUACAUUAUCUACCUUAGACAGUACAGAGUACACAACGUGAACCCUAGUUCUUGUCCAUACAGAGGCUUUUACCCAGGAUUUUUUUUUUCAAAUGACUGUUACUGCAUCUGCAACUGCGACAGGGAAGUAAGCCCGAGGCUUCCAAUUAGAUCUCAUAGCUCAGGCGUCAUGUCUUCAUAAUACAACAUGUUCGAAGGAUUAAACAAUAGCUGGAAAAUGUAUUCCACCUUCCAAUAUUCAACAGCAGGCUGAAAGAAAAUAAAAAAAUGCAGACCAGUGAUUAAAGAAAAGGUUGUUAUAAGAACAAAAAGUGAAAACUAAAAAAAAUAAAAAAAAAGUAAUAAGAAAAGAAGAAACAGAGAAGUUAUUACGUCGGAUUUGACAAUUUUGUCGACUAGACCUUGGCCGUCAUACAACUGCGUCGCCCUCAAAACAGAGAUUCCACACUCGUUUGUUCCCUGCGUUGGCACGACCGGGUAAGAGGGAUUCUCUGCCAAUUUAACCCAGUCAGGGUGGUUCUUAGAUUUAUAAAACUUUUCACCAUAAAUCGCCUUCAGCCGUUGAGCCAUCCUCCUUAUCUGGCAAAAGGCAGCACAAAGUAAAAUAACACACAUCACAGAUCAAUAACUAUUCAGACGAACUGAAAAAUACAAUGUUCUUCUCAACGUCUAGACAGUCCCUCUUUUAAAUGCUCGUGAGGUCAUUUCCUUUUAUCACUUUUUUUACACAGGUUGGGGGUGUGAGAGAAUGCAGUUCUGUCACGCAUAUGUUGCAGUGCACUAUAUAAACAAGUGUGGUGCUAUGUGUGCUAACAUUGCAUGUGUGCAGUUUAUAUAAAAUGCAGUAGGAGAAACACAAAAAAGAUUUGCACUUGGCUAGAAAAAAUGACAUACCACUUCAGUGCAAUCUGAGUGGUAGUUAGUCCUGCGCCACUUUGUUGUGAAAUCAGGAUGGCCAGUGUACUUCCUAUUGCCAUGGAUAUCAAUCGUCCGGCGAUGCUGGUUCAUCGUGUAUAAGGAAUAAUGACCAUUCUUGGAGCGCGGCAUCAUACUUUGUCACAUCAAAAAACAAAAUGAAAAAUGAAAAGUUCAUUCGACACGUAGCACUAGGACCACUGCUCCAAAAUAACUAUAAAAAGAAAUGCAACUAACAAGAAAAUAAAUGACGGAAAACAAUGGCUUACCAGUUUUGUGGCCAACAGGUUUUCGUCACCACUCACAAAAACUUUGGAGUGCUUAAUAGCAUCUGCUAAAACAAAUGGGGGAUGCACAACUGGCAACACAGGGUGUCCUUCAUCAUAUUUAUUCACAAAGGUUUCCAUUUGAAGAACAUACUACAUACAAAAAUAACAAAAACAUGACAUAAAAAGAAUAAAACAUGCAUGCACGCAUGGACAUGACAAAAUCAGUACAAGAGAAAAAAUGACAGCACACGUUUAACGUGAUAAAUAAAGGUGAAAGUAGCAAACAUUCACUAGAAUGAUAAACUAAACCCAUUUCAGGGUCUUGCUUCCAGUACUUGAUGACAAAAUCCAUGAGAUACGAGUCCAUUAAAGCUCCUUUGCCGAAUGUAUUAUAGAUAUAGUCAACAGUGUCAUUUUUGACAUCACCAAAAGGAUUAUUUACCAUAAAGAACGCGUUCUUGCAGUAAACAUAUGCAGAUGGGAUCAAUAAAAAUAAAAUUAAAAACCAAACACAUAAAAAGGAUGAAGGGCACACACAUAAAACUUACUCAUGGUAUUUGGUUACAAAAUCUUUGCUGAGAACGAGAUCGUUUAUUUUCCUCACCUCAUCAAUAUAUUUGAAUCUCCGAGGCUUCAAAUUCUCUAUAGAGCAUCUCAACUUAAAAGCCCUCUCACCUGCCCUCUUGUUCGAAAAUACUUCAGUCUCGUCCACAGGAGGACGAGUCAUUGCUGCACUCCUAGUCAUAGUGACGCGUGGGCACGGCGUAACAAAAUCAUCAUCAUCAACAUCAAAUACAUCUUGUGAAGAUCUAGGUCGAGCAACACUUCCACCAUAAGGUCCAGACGCCACAUCUGUGUUCAAACCAUCUCCAGCCAAAGAACCAGAAUUAUCUGGAGAGAUUUCAACGGCACAAUCCUCCAUAACUAGCUCAGAACCCUGGGACUCAAACGGUGAUGUACAACCUUCAUGAAGGCCCCCAUCAAAACCUAAAAACGUGUAGGAAAAAAAUGGAAACACUCACCACAAAAUACAAAACCAAAAAACAUUAAAUACAUCUCAAUAAUAUAAAAAAGCAGUUCACUAAAGAACAGAAUGCAACCCACUUCUCCACAACAAUGCAACCCACUUCUCUACAACAAUGCAGCCCACUUGUCUAUAACAAUGCAGGCCACUACUCUACAACAAUACAGCCCACCUGUCUACAACAAUGCAACCCACUUAUAAAGAACAAUGCAGCUCACUUGCCCCAAAAUAAAUGCAGCUAACUUGUCUACAACAAAUGCACCUCACUAACACAACAAAAAUAUAGCCAUCCAUUCUAAAUCAUGCAUUUAACUAAACACACUAGUAAAAAAGCCCUUAAGAAGUGGAAGCAAGCAGUAGCCAAAAAAAAGGGGAAUAAAGAAGUUCAAUAAAACAACCUUUAUCUGCAAAAAUUAAAAGUGAUGUUAAAUCAAGGCAACACUUUCUCGAUGUGCGCCAACUAUAGACCAUGGCCUUUCUGAUUUAGCCAAUGUGCUCCACCCCAAACUAAGCAACUCGAACACCAUGCCAAGUCUGCAAGAAUUGAAACAUAUAGAAUCCAUAAUCAUGCCUACAAUAAAAGAAUAAAAAACAUCAGUUUCACAAAAUGAAAUAAAAAAUAAAACUUGAGCAGUAUGGUGGAGAGGGGUUGUACGGAACACACCCAUUUGGCUGAAUUGGGACAAUGUCAUGUUUCAACACAAAUCCAUCAAGUCUAGGAGGAUUUAGCGGCUCAUCAGAACUUGAACUACCUUCUUUCCAUGCACGCUUGAUAUUUUUAACCAUCCUCCUAAAAAUCCUGAUCGCAUCAGGGCUGCCAGGUUUAUUGAGCGAGUCAAGAAAUUCAAACCGCCUUUCUUUCAAAUUUAAGGCAACUACACAAUAAUGACCAAGGCCAUCUCUCGUCUCUGGCGGAUCAAAUGUUGCAAACAGGACCUGUUGGAAGUACGAAAAAUAAAUAAAAUUAUUACAAGAGGAAGAAACAGAACACUAUAAGAACCAACAUACAAAAUAUGGUUUUCGACACAUAAAAACGUUACUCACCAUAUCUUUGUUAUCAACAUGCUCCUCGGCUAUUGAAGAGAACAUCAUUUUAACACUCCUGCCUACAGUACCACCAUGCCAAACACUUGUCUGCCAAAACAAAACCAAAAAACAAAUAGUGCUCAAGCAAACAGAUCAUCACACGAAAUCAGAAAAGAAAAUCAAAAAAUAAAACAAAAAUUUAUGCAUUCUUACACAAAUAUGGUACGGGACAACCAUCGUCGGAGAUCCCUUAAACUUAUCACUACUAGGAAAAGGCCUACUAGUGGCGCACCCGUUUUUCCUACUAAUGGCGCACUACUGGUGCGCCACUAGUACCACGCCACUAGUAUUAAAUACUAAUGGCGCACCACUGGUGCGCCAUUAGUAUCUGGUAUACUAAUGGCGCAUCACGCCGUGCGCCAUUAGUAUAGACCAACAUGCGCCAUUAGUGUGCCUCCCAGGGGGCGAUAUUUACACAUGUGCUUUGCCAUACUAAUGGCGCACUGUGGGGUGAUGCGCCAUUAGUAUCCUUUGGCAUAAUAAUGGCGCACGUUGGGUUAUGCGCCAUUAGUAUGAAUAUUAGGGAUUUUUUUCUUUUCUGAUAUUUGCACAGGUUACAAAAUAUUUUAUUGGACAGAAUAUAGACAGCACCACACAGCAACAGCAGAUUCAUCGAAUACAAUCGAAGAUUAGUCUCCGAAUACAAUUCAUCAUAUUAGUCUCCGAAUUCAAAAGACCGAACAAAGAUAGAACAUUACAAGUCUCGAGACCGUGAGUAGCGAGUUUGUCUUCACAUUACAAGUCGAUAUCGAUCAUCUAAACUACCAUCACAUAGAAGAGAGCUGCGGUCAUCACGAUGAGCAUCAUCGCGAUGAAACUGGUCUUCAUCCGGUUCCUCCAAUGCUCCCUCCUCUCUCUCGCUAGAUAGCGCGCAUAUCUAGAUUCCGCCUCCGCCCUAGUGGUGUACCCUUUGUAACUGUUACCGCUGAAACGGUGAACCUGUUUCCGACACUCCUCCCAGUCGUCGUAGACUCCGGGAACCUUACCCUUGUACACGACAUACAACGACAUCUCUAUGCACUAGCCAAACAACAGACAAUACAUAAGCAAUAUAUAGGUAUGUAACAAAAGGAUCGGAAGAGAAAAGCAAGACAUUAAUAGCACGAUUCAUGGUCCUACUAAUAAAUAACAUCGAUUACAUCUAAGUUGAACGGCUAUCCAAACCAAAGAGACAUACAAGUUCAUUAAAGUUUAAUUACAACAUGAGCUAAUCGAUGUUUCAGAACUAGACAUAGCAUCACUACUUUCGACUCGACUCAUGGGACCGGAGCGUGGAUGAAGCCGCCGUCUUUCGUGAUGGUCAUGAAGUCGCGGGCGUUGUCAGCCUGCAUUUGUAGCGUUGUGUCUAUCUCACUGUUGGACGAUUGAUAUCUGAGGUAGAACUGCCCCGAGGUACGAAGGACAUCUUGAUGGAUGAUUUCUGCAAACUCCAACUGGACGCGAAAGAAUUCUUGUCGGAUGUCCGCGUCCUGGAUUGCCGCCAAGCUUGCGGCCCAAUCUUUGAGAUUAUUUGGUAGCAGAAGGUGAUUAUGGUCCCGUACGAUCGCCCGCAUGUGAUGGAGGGCGUAGUAGGCAUCCUUCUGACCGCCAGGCGGCUGCUUGACGUAGGGGAACGUCGUAUUGUGGGUGAACACGUGCCUGCCGUACCUACGAGCUGGCCUCUUAAAGGUGCCUCCAGAUGCGGCGUAGCCGGGGAGAGCAUCAUCAAGAACUUUCUUGAUAUUUGUGUAGUCUAUCUUGGAGUCACGGUCCGGGUCGAAAUAUGUGGCCAUGGAAUAUUUCGGGCUUAAGAGGAUGAGUGUGCAAUGUGUGUUACUGCACAGAACACGGAAUGUUAGAAAAAAAGAACGAUCGAAAUCUAAGAAAUCAUAUGUUACGGGGUGGUUAGGGGAUGACUUACUCGGGAAAGUAAGGCACGAGGAAGUUAUUCUUAUCUGGGUUUGCCAGAAUGACGCCUUCGAGGUGUGAACUCGCGACUUGCCGGUCCCGAGCGCUGCCCAAGAUCUUGGCACGCAUGUAGAAGGGGUCGACUAUCACAAUGUCCGGGGUCUUGUCUCUAAUGAUCCGCAUCUCCAUACUCAGCAAAAACAGCCGAACGAAGGUGUAGUGCAGCGGAUGAAGGUUAAACAUAGCAAAGAUGUCAUCAAACCGCAGGACGAUCGUACCCCCGACGGUGCUAUCCACAAAGCCCUUGCCCUCUGGCACCUUGGCCACGAAAACCGGGUAUGCCACAUCAUUCUCUCUGAGACGCCGCUUCUCUAAAGAAACAACACUGUCAUGCAGAUUCCGCAUAGCACCGGUUGCAGCAUUGAGCAUAUUUGUCGGUAGCAUCGCCCUACCCGCCACAUGCACCCUCCUCGAGAUAUCCUUAGGUGAAGGUGGCCCGUCCUGAGCACGGAUCGUACUCGGUGCCGGCUGGCUCGCACCGGCGCCCUUGUUAGUCUUUCGUUUCCGUCUCUUCUUCUUGAUCUGCUGUAAUGGGAUCGAGUUCUGCUCACAGACCGCCUUCUUGAGCGUGUUGGGGCUGAUAAUAUUUCGCACCUCAGCUAUCUGAGGCUCGGUGAAGGCGGCAGCUGGAGGCGUCUCCUGUGAACUGAACGCCAGACGACGCCUGUUGCAAUUGGGUUUCUCCGCUGUACCAGCUAGAUCGCGGUCGUCUUUUUCAGGGUUGGGUUCUUGAGAAGGAGGCCCGCAGAACUCGUCACCGUACCCAUGUUCGGCAAAGUACUUAUCAACGUUGGUAAAUGUACCGUCGUCGUUGUCGUCGUCGUCCGGAUCCUGUGCCAUAUGCAUGUCCGGAUCCUGUGCCAUAGGGAUGUCCGGCAUGUCCGGUAGCGUUGCGGCGUUCUUGCCAUGGCUUGGCGCUGGCACGACUGGCGGUCUUGUCUGUGGGGUGGUGUCCCCCGCCCCCAAACGAAUCUGGCUCUUCGGCAAAGCAGGGGCCAACUUAUGCAGGCGCUGAGGGUCAUCACAUCAUCUUCGUCGGCCCCAGCGGGUCGAAUCGGAGGUAACAACUCGUCGCAGCCUGGCAGCACCUGAACCAGUUCAACCCUAUACAAGGUGGGUGGCAUCGGAUUACCGUGGAACACGCGGUUGCCCGGUUGAACGAUUCUGCCCUUGGCGACAUCGACCAACUCGCCGCCCACGAAGUGCAGGAGAGUGCAAGGAACGUCGGCAGCGCCCUGCGAAAACAUGUAGGGCGUCAGGGAUGCCCAGUCAAAGGCAAGGAGAUGAAGUCAACAGCCGAGAGGCUUAGCUACCGUGAUGCCGUCCAGCUGGGCUAAUGUCGAGGCAGCACCAACGACGGGCGUGCAACUGACGGAGGGGCCGCUUGCUGGCGAGGUGCCGGCCGGCGUACACCCGGGUGCAUUAAGCUCCAAUGCCCGUGCCGGCGCCGGAGACACGAAUACCGCCUCCGCCGGAGACACCAAUGGCGCCGCCUGCGCGUUGUGCGAGUUACUGGCCGUGAAGCUGGGAACCGGGGGAGGCCCCUGUUGGCCGCCCGCAAUCCACGUCGUCAGCCCCUAAUGGUAGGCACCAUGGCGGUGAGCGUCGUUCCCAGUUGUUGUUGCACUUGCUCUUGGACAAUCUCCGGAAUCCGCGCCACUUGUGCCUUGAGUUCUUGAACCUCGCGCGACUGGCUUUCCGAGCUGGUCUUUUUCUCCUUUCGCCCACCAGCGGUAUAGUAUGACGACCAUUUUGUGGACAAGCCUUUGCCGGCCACACGACUAGCUGAUGACGGCUUACUGAGCUUAUCCUUGUUUUUCAUUACGUUCAACGCCCUAUUUAAAGGGGUGUCGAAAGGGGAGCUCUGAGACAACCCCGCGCUACUGCUUUCAGCCUCCUGCGGAAGGAAUGUGAACCAUUUAGAAAUUUGGCUUCAUUAAUUAGAAUGCAACCAUAUGGAGCUAAUUAUGCGGGGCUGUAUUCCUUACCAGAACAAGCUCAAGCGCCCUGGUCUUCGGAUCCGUGGUAAGCUCCUUUGUUACCGAGUCCUCCUUGUACCGGGCCGUGACAAAGUUCCUGGUCUGCUUGUCACGGUAUUUCUCGAAGCGGGGCGAUAGGCCUUGCUCGGCACGCUCCACGUCCUCCUUGUCCCAUAUAGGCUCCGCCACUCUGUAACCGCCGGGACCGAGUUGGUGGACCCCUAAGUUCAACUGCCGCAUUUCUUUCCCCCACUGACUUGAUUCGGAGGUUGCGCUGCUCUCGCACUUGAUCUUGAACUCCUUGUAGUCAUCUUCGCUGAUCAAAGGAUAUUUUGCCUUGAUCUUCUCAUAACUAUCAGCUUUUUCAAUCAUUGCCUUCACCGUGCUUCCCCAAGUAGACAGGGCCGUGCUCAUCCUCGUGAGGGCGGCACUGUUCACUUUAUUCCCUGAGAGGCGUGUGUUUGCAAAGUCAGCGGGGAACUUGUAUCGUUCGUGCAGCUUUGUGAAGAGGAGGCUGCACAAAUUCCCUUGGUCCUUAUGCCUUAGGUUCUCGGUGUUGAUCGAGACGGUGCUCCGGAGAAUGCAGCCGAGCUGAACCGAGUACCCCUUGACUAAUUCUUUGGGCGCCGUUGGAUGCCCGUCGGAGUUCACUUCAGUAAAUUUCUCCUUGACGGUGCCGAGCACGCUCGGGCGCCGGUCCUUCCGUUGCCUCUUCGGUUGGCUGCCAUCUGUGCGUGCGCCGCCAUCAUCAGUGGUGGCAUCCUCGGUGGCACCAUCAGUGGUGUCAUCCCCGACGCCACUAGGGAUUGUGUAGUCAGGAUUGGUGUCUUCCGCGGCGUCCUCAUAGCGGUGAGGUUCUUCCUCCAUCUCCUGGGACAGCUCCCAGAAUUGCUUGCCCGAACCGCCGGCCUCAUCGUUGUGGGCCAUGUUUUGCUCUAAAUAGGAAAUAAGUUUGGUCAAAAAGUUGGUUAUUGUCAAGGAACAAGAUCUCUAAGUUGACCAAAUAACCUAAUUCUCGAGGAAUGUCGCCAAAAAGUUGGUUAUUGUCAAGGAACAAUUGAGAGAUGUUUGUGAUAUUGCCUAGGUGUUUUGGGAUGGAACCUGUUAGUGUGUUGUUGCUAAGGUCCAAGUCCACGUUCUCAAGGUCUAAGAUAAUUUAAUCAGGGCAGUGGCAGUGGAUUCGUGCACAAGCUAAGCUAGCUAAGACAGUAGCUUCCUUGCAACCCACAAAAGACAAAGGAAAAGGGGUGAAAAGGGGGAGAUGGUUAGCUUUGAUGAGCAGGCAGCAUCUUCCUAACCCCCUUCUUCUUGUCUCCUCUCACUAUCUCUCUCACACACAUGGCAAGCAAGGGUGUCUAAGUGUGUGAAAAAAUACUAAACUAAUCCAACCACUAAAGCGUGGAUUUUUUUGUUUCAGUUGAGAAUCGGGCACCUUCUAGGUCAAGAAAAUGGGCAUGACCUUUGCUAAUUUUCUUGACCUAGGAGUGCCCCAUUCUCAACCGAAACGGAAAUUAAUCAACAUUUCAGAAGAAAGGGGUCAUUUCAGAAGAUCACAAGUAGCAGCAGCAUCACAUAUUUGUGAUAAUCUCAGUAGAAACACACCAAGCAAGUAUUAUCAACAGAAAGAAGCUGCCCAGAACUGUUACUGACCAGGCCACCAAUGAAUAAUGAACACUGGUGAUGAAAUACAGCAAAUGCAAUGGUUCAGGAUAACACCAAGACAUGGACUGCCUCUAUGUUGAGAAGCCAGUGACAGUCAGCAGACAGCAAUGCAGCGAAUUUCAGAAAGUUUAGUUUGUAGCAGUUGUCAAACAAAUGUAUCAGUCCAUUCCAUCAAAGUAUACUAGAUUGUGUCAUUAGCAUGACAGGGGGUAAGCAAAGUACAGUAUGACAUUAGAUGGAGCAAACUGGAGAUUUGGUUGGGCAUUUAGGCUUAAAUUCUGAGAUUUUCUUACCAACAGUAUGGAUGAAGCAAAGAAACCACUCAUUGAUAUUUCAGAUUUACAUACAAGAAAAUGAAUCACAAAGGCACAAAAUGGAGAUCUGAAAGACAACUUUCAUUCAGAUUGCUGAUGACAACAAGAUGGUAAGGGAAACAAAGGUGAACCUCUCUCUUCUUGCACUCCUUGUAGUUGUCAAACUGCUGCUGGCACUUGCUCUUGUCCUGCUUGGUCUCCAGACCUGGAGACACGGCACAUCAUGAGGGAUUUCAUCAAAUACAUACGAAACAAUAGACAGCUCGUUCUCUGAUCACUACUAAAGGUAGCAUACUUCCAAUCAACAUGAAAAGUGAAAUACCAGGAUGAUCGAAGUUGUAGUCCUGAGCACUUGCAGAUUCUUCAGCAGUUAAGCCACGGUAAAAUGAAUCCUACAAAAUUAAAGGCCAUACUGGGUGCAUCAGAGAUACUGUAGAAAUAGCACUACCAGAGUUGAAUCUACAAAAUUAAAUGAAUCCUACAAAAUCCAAUCCUACUGUAAAAUGAAUCCUACAAAAUUAAAUGAAUCCUACAAAAUAGCACUACUGUAAAAUGAAUCCUACAAAAUUAAAUGAAUCCUACAAAAUCUAAUCGUACUGCAUCAGAGCUGACUUUAUCAAAUGGGUGCAUCAGAGAUGCAAAUUUAUUUGCUGGAGAAAUAGCACUACCAGAGUUGAACUAACUGACGAAACUGAACUAACUGAAGAUACUGUAGAAACUGAACCUUGAUGAGUUUUUCUCCAAAUCUGAGAUUAUAUUUGGCACUAGUCAAUUUAACUGAACUAACUGCUAAGCACAUCCCCUCAUCAAGAGGGGAGCUCCUUCCUAACUCCAUAAUUUAUUAACUCAAAAAAACUCGAUAAUUUAAACCACAGAUGCAAAACAGCCCAAGAAAGCUCACAAAAUGCCGAAGAAACAUAUUUCACAUAACAAGAGUAACAAGCCCUAGGAGGAUUAUAAGGUUUCCUACCAGCCCAAGACCAAAUUCAGUCACUUGAUACAUCAUCAUCAUCAUAAUACAGCCAUCAAAUCUAUAGACUAAACUAACAAUUAAGGAUCAACAUCCAUACUAUAUCAUGCUCAGCACACGCACAAAAUGUUUCACCGAGCACUAAACACAUCCAUCUAGCAGACCAAACAGCCCG
This 88782-nucleotide long non-coding RNA is filed under the name Triticum aestivum (bread wheat). RNAcentral's name for it is "long non-coding RNA (TAES_LNC004473)". The record is from RNAcentral. Lineage: Eukaryota; Viridiplantae; Streptophyta; Magnoliopsida; Poales; Poaceae.